Molecule: long non-coding RNA, 44838 nt
Filed under: Vitis vinifera (wine grape)
Lineage: Eukaryota; Viridiplantae; Streptophyta; Magnoliopsida; Vitales; Vitaceae
Description: long non-coding RNA (VVIN_LNC004825)
Source: RNAcentral
AUUAUCAGGAAACCUUCCGUCAUGGAUAGGAGAGAUGCAAUCGUUGUUGAUUCUACGCCUGCGAUCAAACUUGUUUGAUGGAAACAUUCCCUCCCAAAUGUGCAUUCUUUCCCAUCUUCAUAUAUUGGACCUCGCACAUAAUAAUCUGUCAGAAUCCGUUCCUUUUUGUUUGGGAAAUUUGAGUGGCAUGGCUACUGAAAUCAGCAAUGAGCGAUACGAGGGGCAAUUGUCAGUUGUGAUGAAAGGAAGAGAACUCAUAUAUCAGAAUACUCUGUAUCUCGUGAAUAGCAUUGAUCUUUCAGACAAUAAUAUAUCAGGGAAGUUGUCUGAAAUAAGAAAUCUUUCAAGACUUGGCACCUUGAACUUGUCCAGAAACCAUUUGACAGGAAAUAUACCAGAGGACGUUGGGAGCUUAAGUCAAUUAGAAACUCUGGACCUCUCAAGAAACCAGCUCUCUGGCUUGAUUCCACCAAACAUGGUUUCUAUGACUUCCUUGAAUCACUUGAACUUGUCUUACAACAGACUAUCUGGUAAAAUUCCAACAAGCAACCAGUUCCAAACCUUCAAUGACCCGUCCAUAUACAGGAAUAACCUUGCACUCUGUGGGGAGCCUCUGGCAAUGAAGUGCCCAGGCGAUGAUGGGGCUACUACUGAUUCUUCAGGUGUGGAUAAUGAAGAUCAUGACGAUGAACAUGAAGAUGCGUUUGAAAUGAAGUGGUUCUACAUGAGCAUGAUGUCACGGACUUAGUCGUUUCCUAAGCUCGUGCGGCACUUAGGCAAAUCAAGACGCUUGAUCUUGCUAAGUCAGCCUUACCUCCGACACUUAGCUUGCUAGACUAAGAUGCUCACGACUCGGAAGCUUGAGAAGUUGUAGUAGGUAACUUUUAAAGAAUGGAAGCUCUUAUUACUCAAGGAAGCCUUUACAAGUGCUUGGAAGCUUACUUGCUUGGUGCCUUGGCCAAAUGAGGCCCUCACCUAUUUAUAGGCACCAAUGAAACUCUCUAGAACCUUGGAGGGUUCCUUACAAUUCAUGAAUAUUCUAGAAUGUCCUACACUAUUCUAUGUACAAGCCUAUAUACAGGAGACUUCUAGAUUUCUCUAGAAAGCUUUGGACCUUUCUCAUGCCUUCUACCAUAGUGUAGAGUUGUGUGGACUUCUCUAGGCAUUUCUAGAACCUUCCACACUCUUCCCACUAGUGGCUAAGUGUGGAUGUCUCCAAGGGUCUCUAGAAGCUUCUCACCUCCUAUAUAAGCCAUGGGGAGGGUCAUUUGAAGCAUCUUGUGACACUCUCCCCCACCUAAGCCGCAGACGUCCUCGUCACGUCUUCUGCCCGAAACCGCUCAAUCUGCUCCUGGAACUGCCAUAGUGCAUUUCCUGGCUCCCAGCUAGCCUCGCUUUCUAGUAGUCUCUUCCAUUUCACUAAGUACUCCGUAGUAGGAGGCACACCACGCCUUCUGAUGAUUCGGUCUGCAAUGAUGUGUUCCACCUCCUUGUCAUAGGAGGUCAUGACCGCUGUAGGUGCCCUCUUAGAAAGCCCUCGGCUUGGAUCAUCCUUGUCUUCGUGAUAUGGUUUCAAGUAACUCACGUGGAAGACAGGGUGAAUCUUUAACCUUGGCGAUAACUCCACUUUGUAGGAUACCUUGCCGACCUUUCCAAGUAUAGGGAAGGGUCCUUCAUACCUCCUCACAAGGCCCUUAUGCACUGGCCUUAGGGAUUUGAAUUGUUGAGGAAGGAGCUUGACAAGCACCAUGUCUCCGACCUUGUACUCCGUGUGACGUCGCUUCUUGUCAGCCCACUUCUUCAUUUUCUUAGCGGCCUUGUCCAAGUACGAGCGUGCUAUGUCAGCUUGCUCAUGCCACCCCUUCACGAACUUGAAAGUCGCUGGACUUCUCCCCAUGUAGCCUAUCGUUAGCGUGUGAGGAGUUAAGGGUUGCUGCCUUGUGGCUAGCUCGAACGGGCUCUUGUUGGUCGCCUCACUCCUUUGCAAGUUGUAUGAGAACUGGGCUAUAUCUAGCAACUUAGCCCAAUCUCUCUGGUUGGCACUCACAAAGUGCCUCAAGUACAGCUCCAGCAAGGCGUUCACCCUCUCAGUCUGCCCAUCUGUCUGUGGGUGAAAGCUGGUGGAGAAGUGAAGCUCCGAACCCAUAAGCUUGAAGAGCUCCGUCCAAAAUUUCCCAGUGAAACGCGGAUCGCGAUCACUGAUAAUAUACUUAGGCAAUCCCCAAUACUUGACUACGUGUUUUAAGAAUAGUCUUGUCGUCUCCUCCGCAGUGCAGUCAGUAGGGGCUGCUAUGAAGGUCGCAUAUUUAGAGAACCUGUCCACUACCACUAUGAUAGAGCCGUUGUCCUCUGACUUGGGCAGCCCGAUGAUGAAGUCCAUGGUGAUGCUGUCCCAUGGGCGCUCCGCUAUUGGUAAUGGUUCCAACAGGCCUCUAGGCUGUCGUUGCUCCACCUUGUCUUGUUGACACACAAGACAAGUUCUCACGUAGGCCUCAACCUCAUCCCGUAUUUGAGGCCAACAGUAAGCCGACUCGAGUAAUGCCCUCGUGCGUCGUUGCCCUGGGUGCCCUGCCCACUUGGUGUCGUGGCACUCCUUAAUUAGAUUCCGUCUUAUGUUUCCCCACUUAGGCACGUAGAGUCGUCUCCCCUUAGUGUAGAGUAGGCUGUCCUCCACCCAAAACCGCUUAGUCUUCCCUUCAUGAGCCAGGGCGAUGACGCUCUUAGCCACUGGAUCAUGUUGCAGUCCUUCCCUUAGAAGAUCUAUUAUGUCUCCUUGGGGCUGACUCGUCAUAGACGCUAGCUUGGCUUUGCGGCUUAGGGCGUCGGCCACAUGAUUAGCACUUCCCGGCUUAUACUCCAGCGUAUAGUCAAACUCGGCCAGGAAGUCUUGCCACCUAGCUUGUUUAGGACUCAGCUUCUUCUGUGUCUGGAAGUAGCUAGUGGCCACAUUGUCGGUCUUCACUAUGAAGUGAGACCCUAGCAAAUAGUGCCUCCAAGUGCGCAAGCAGUGGACAAUAGCGGUCAUCUCCUUUUCUUGUACCGUGUAACGCCUCUCCGCAUCGUUUAGCUUGCGACUCUCAAAUGCGAUUGGGUACCUUUCUUUCAUAAGGACUCCCCCAAUAGCGAAGUCUGAGGCAUCUGUGUGUACCUCAAAGACCUUGGUGUGGUCGGGUAGUGCCAACACUGGCUCCUCAGUCACAGCCUUCUUCAGGUCCUCAAAGGCUUGUUGGCACCUUUCAUCCCAUUCCCAUGCCUUAUUCUUCUUAAGAAGAUCAGUGAGUGGAGCAGCCCUUCCCGAAUAACCCUUUAUGAACCACUGGUAAUAAUUAACUAAACCAAGGAAAGAUCUGAGUUGAGGUACCUUGGUUGGUGGAUCCCACUCCUGGAUGGCUUUCACCUUGCUAUCAUCCAUCAUUAGCUUGCCAUCUCUGAUGCGAUGCCCUAGGAAGCUCACUUUCUCCUUAGCAAACGAGCACUUCUCCUUCUUCACGUAUAGCUUGUUCUGCCUCAAGAUCUUAAAGACCUUCCUCAAGUGCUCUUCGUGCUCCUUUAGAGUGUUACUAUAGAUGACUAUGUCAUCCAAGUACACCACCACGAACUUGUCCAAGUAUGGGUGGAAGAUCUUGUUCAUGAGGGUGCAAAACGUUGUUGGGGCAUUGGUGAGUCCGAAAGGCAUCACUAAGAACUCAUAUGAGCCAUACCUGGUCACACAUGUAGUCUUCGGCUCAUCUCCCUCCGCAAUCCUGACUUGGUAGUAGCCUGACCUUAAGUCCAGCUUUGUGAAGUACCUUGCCCUUCCAAGUUGAUCGAACAAGUCAGCAAUGAGCAGGAUGGGAUACUUGUUUUUCACCGUCACCUUGUUGAGUGCCCGGUAGUCGAUACACAUCCGUAGGGAUCCAUCGUGUUUCUUUUGAAACAAGACCGGCGCGCCAUAAGGAGCCUUGGAUGGUUGGAUGAACCUCGCAUCUAGCAACUCCUUGAGUUGUCUUCUUAGUUCCUCCAACUCGGGUGGUGCCAUCCUAUAUGGCCCCAUAGCAGGGGGCUUGGCUCCCGGCUCCAGCUCAAUCUUGUGAUCUUCCUCUCUCCUAGGAGGAAGUCUCUUGGGCAACUCGGGUUGCAUAACGUCCUUGAACUCAUCAAGGACCCCCUCGAUUUCCUUAGGCAUGGGUCCUCCCGACCCAUCAUCCCUUUCUUCCUUAAGGGUGGCGAGGUAGGUCACCUCUUCCCUUUUUAACCCCUUUUUUACUUGCAUAGCGGAUAGCAUAGAGGUCUUGAGCGUACCUUCAAUGACCGUAGGGACCAUGCAUGGCUUCUCCUCCUCUAGGAUAGCCAUUGAGCGUAAGAAAGGUAGUGGCACGGCCUUGACCUUCUGUAGGAAGUCCAUUCCUAGCACCAUCUUGAAGUCGUCCAUGGGUGCCACUGUGAAGUCGACCCUUCCUUCCCACGAGCCAAUGUGCAUAGUCACCCCGCGAGCUACUCCAUGUGAUGGCUUAGCGGUUGAAUUAACUGCCUUGAGCCAUCCUCCUUCCUUGGAUGCUUGGAGCUCCAGCCUUCUUGCCUCAUCUUCCGAGACAAAGUUGUGAGUGGCACCUGUGUCCACCAGGGCCUUGGUGGCCUUCCCAUUCACAAGGGCCUCCACAUACAUCAGCCCCUUGCAUUGAGGCAUCCUAGGCAUCGGCUUGGCCUUAAGGGCAUUCAGGAGCUGCAAUGAUCCCAUCUUAGCAUUGCCUUCCUGCUCCUUCUCCUCGAUCAUAGCAUUUAAAGCCUUCCUCUUAGGGCAGUCCCGUGCCCAUUGCGGACCAUCGCACAAGAAGCAAUUGGUCCUGGGCGUGAACUCCUUUCGCUUGUCCUUGCCUUUGCUAUCCUUGCCACUAGGGCCUUUGCUUGAUCUUUCCUUAGGAGUGUGGCCCUGCGACCUCUUAUCUCCCCCACCUUUAGCCUGGUUACCCUUGGAUGGUGGCUUGGGCUUGGAAGAGUCUCCCCUUCUAUAAUCCACCAAGGACUCGGCUACUGCCAUGGCCGUGGCUAGGUCUUGGACACCACGUCUCCUCAACUCUUGCUCGGCCCAACUUUGCAGGUUGUCCAUGAAGUUAAAUAGUAGCUCCUCCUUAGCCAUGUUAGGUAUCUCAAGCAUAAGAGUAGAGACUUCUUUGACAUACUCACGGAUCGAGCCCGUGUGCUUGAGACGCUUUAAACUCUUCCUUGCUAGGUAAGCCACGUCUUCGGGAUAGAAUUGCCUCUUGAUUUCUCUCUUGAAGGCAUCCCAUGUGUCUAUGGUGCACGUCCCUCUCUCUAUGUCGGCAAACCGUCGACGCCACCAUAGAGUAGCAUUAUCAGUGAGGUAAAGGGUCGCGGUGCGUACCUUAGUGGCUUCAUCCAUUAAUGCAAUGGCCUCAAAGUAACGCUCCAUGUGCCACAAGAAGUUAUCCAGCUCCUUGGCAUCCCUUUUGCCACUGAACGUGUGUGGCUUGGGCACCUCUACCCUUGGUGCCUCAAGAGUGGCCAUGACUCGUGCUGAUACAGCGGUCUUAUAGAUGGCCAACUCUUGUCGAAUCUCUUGGUCUCAGGCCUCCACUCGUGCAGUCAAGGCCUCCAUCCUUGACUCCACACUAGCGAACAUGCUCAUGACCUUGUCUUGGAAGGACAUGAACUCCUCGUGUGACACCGGCUGAACUUGCGAGACCAGCACCCCCUCGCGAAGGUCUUGGACCUGCUCCCUUAGAUCCUUUAAGCCCUUCUUCAUGCCUUGCUCGAUCAAGUCCACCCCUUCCCGGGUGUCUGCCAUGGCUAGCUCCACUUUGGCUAACCUUGCCUCCAUGUUGGCAACAACAUCACGAGAUGUAUCCUUCUUACCUCUGCCCCUGCCCCGUGCAGUAGGCUCGGCCUCCCUCCCACGGGUUUGUUCGCUAGUCUCCUCCACGUUAGAGCCCGACAUGCUUCCCUUAUGCCCGCUUCGUAGCCGCGCUCUGAUACCACUUGUCACGGACUUAGUCGUUUCCUAAGCUCGUGCGGCACUUAGGCAAAUCAAGACGCUUGAUCUUGCUAAGUCAGCCUUACCCCCGACACUUAGCUUGCUAGAUUAAGAUGCUCACGACUCGGAAGCUUGAGAAGUUGUAGUAGGCAACUUUUAAAGAAUGGAAGCUCUUAUUACUCAAGGAAGCCUUUACAAGUGCUUGGAAGCUCACUUGCUUGGUGACUUGGCCAAAUGAGGCCCUCACCUAUUUAUAGGCACCAAUGGAACUCUCUAGAACCUUGGAGGGUUCCUUACAAUUCAUGAAUAUUCUAGAAUGUCCUACACUAUUCUAUGUACAAGCCUAUAUACAGGAGACUUCUAGAUUUCUCUAGAAAGCUUUGGACCCUUCUCAUGCCUUCUACCAUAGUGUAGAGUUGUGUGGACUUCUCUAGGCAUUUCUAGAACCUUCCACACUCUUCCCACUAGUGGCUAAGUGUGGAUGUCUCCAAAGGUCUCUAGAAGCUUCUCACCUCCUAUAUAAGCCAUGGGGAGGGUCAUUUGAAGCAUCUUGUGACAAUGAGGCCUGGAUUUGUAGUGGGAUUUUGGGGAGUUUUUGGCCAUUUGAUAAUAAAUAGGUCUUGGAGGCGAGCCUACUUCCGGUUCCUGGAUGAGAUGAAAGAUAGAGUUAUGGUGGUUAUCACAGAGAAUGUAGCAUGUCUGCAAAAGAAAUGCAAAUAGGAAAGAAAACAUCAUCAAACUUGAACAGAUAUCCAUCAACAAGCUUUCUAGCUAAAAUAACAGUCUCUAUGUGUCAGUGGUUUGCUUCAUGUACUUCCUCCUAACACAAUAAAACAUUGGUUAAUUAAGAGCUUUUCUUCCAACCUUGAUAGACUGGUAUAUCUGCUUGCAUCUGUGGUAUUCUUCUUCUUCUACAGGUUUUUCUUCCUUUUGAUUUAGUGAAGUAGUAGAACCUUAGCCCCCUGCUAGGCAAUCUGAUAACUUUGCUGAACAGUGGGAGAAGUGGAUUACUACCUCGCAUCGAUAUACGAUCUCAACCCCAGAUGAAAGAUGAAAUGUAAGGUGUCAACCUCCAGUUGCAUUUUGGGAUACAAACACCUUACAUGCUUCGUAAUUUUAUGGCUAAAUUGUAAUAUAUGCUAUCAACUAUGUGUGAUACCCAGAGAGCUAAUAACUAUUACUGCUAAAUCAUAAUAUUACUGCUAAAUCAUACUUAACCCCAUGAGGAAAGCUCGGACUCCACUCAUUUUUCAACAAAAAGGCAACGCGAUAGAAAAUCCCAGUUGUCAAAUUCAAUGCGCGUAAGACUAGGCCCAUAAGAGCCUGGGAGACCAAGGCCACCAGCAGCCACAACCUGGGCAGCACGCCCUGACCCUAUGGUCACCCCCAUGGUGCAGAACGUGCUCCCGCACCGUGACCCUAUGGUCACCCCCAUGGUGCGGAACGUUCACUCGCACCUAGUGACGCGACAAGAUGGGAGAAACCUCCCAAACGAGCCACCCAUUGGCUCCAUUAGCAAAAUGCUGGACGACAUGCUCUCCACGCCUUUCUGCUCUCAUAUCAUUCAUUACGAGCCCCCAAGGGGAUUCUUCGUACCAAAAUUUUCCACAUACGAUGGGUCCAACGACCCCUUCGAGCAUAUCAUGCAUUAUCGACAGCUCAUGACGCUCGAUAUUGGCAACGACGCAUUGCUGUGCAAAAUAUUACCCACCAGCCUACAAGGGCAAGCCCUCUCAUGGUUUCAUCGCCUACCUCCCAACUCUGUUGACAAUUUCAGAGAUCUAUCCGAAGCUUUCGUAGGACAAUACUUAUGCUCUGCUCGACAUAAGCAGAACAUCAACACUCUGCAAAACAUAAAAAUGCAAGAUAACGAAUCCUUAAGGGAGUUCGUAAAGCGGUUUGGUCAAGCUGUACUUCAGCUAGAGGCUUAUAGCAUGGAUGCUGUCCUGCAGAUCUUCAAACAAAGCAUCUUUCCAGGCACCCCAUUUUUCGAAUCGCUAGCUAAAAAGCCUCCUACAACGAUGAACGACUUGUUCAGAUGUGCAAGCAAAUACUCAAUGCUCGAAGAUGACGUACGAGCAGCCACCCAGUAAGUCCUGGUUGUUGGACAGGCAACUAGAAGUGGCACAGAAAGAAGUGCCAAACUUCCGGACCGGCCAAGGCCGUCCGAUCGAAGGUAGGAAGGGCCAAGUCGCCCGAAAAGGCCGCCCCUCACAUCUCUCUCCAUAUCAUAUGAGAAACUUCUCCCUAUGAUCCAAGGCUUGUCCGACUUCAGAUGGCCUAGACCCCUCGGAACGGACCCAUCCAAAAGAGAUCAUAACAAGAAAUGUGCCUUCCACAAGGAGUAUGGUCACACAACGGAAGAAUGCAGGUGCCUCCAUUAUUUGGUCGAAAGGCUCAUAAGGGCGGGGCAUUUAAAGCAAUACCUCCGCUCAGAUGCCGGAGGUAGAGACGCUUCCCAAAAUCACAACUCUGGAGCCCCCAAGGCCCCAGCCGCCUCUAAGGCCAUUAUAAACUACAUUAACGAAGGCCCAUCUGAAGAGGAGUAUGACUCCAAACGAAAGAGACAAAAGUUGUUGCGGGCUGCAUCGGUGCGUGAGCGUAUCAACUCCAUCUGACCUGGGUUAACUGGGGGGAGCCCUCGCCCCAUAGAUGGAACAAUCAUUUUCCCACCAGUAGACCCCACCCGAACACUGUAGCCACAUCGCGACGCCCUCAUCCUAUCCCUAGAGAUAGGAGACUUCGACGUGAGACGCAUUCUGGUUGACCCGGGCAGCUUGGCCGAUCUUGUGCAAGCAUCGGUCGUUAGCCACAUGGGACACAGUCUCACGGGCCUUGAAAACCCUGGGCGAAUCCUGUCUGGAUUCAACGAAUCGUCAACUACUUCCUUGGGAGACAUUGUACUGCCGGUCCAAGCUGGCCCAAUCACUCUCAAUGUACAAUUUUCGGUGGUACAAGAUUUAUCGCCUUUCAAUAUCAUCUUGGGGCGCACAUGGCUACACUACAUGAAAGCCAUCCCCUUUACAUAUCAUCAAUUGGUGAGUUUCCUUACCAACGAUGGGCAAAUUGACCUCUAUGGCGGCCAGUUAGCCGCUCGCCAAUGCUACCAGAUAGCACGAGAAACAGGGACCAGCCAGGAGGAUGCAUCCCUCCCUGAGUCCAACCAUGCGCGUGACCAAUAGCAAUUAUUGGGUCCGAUGGACAAGGAUCCCCCAACAGCAGAUCCCUUGCAAACAAUCCAAAUUUCGGAAGAAGGUACUCACCUUACAAAGAUCAGUUCCCUUCUGACACCAGAAGAGACCCGAAACAGGCAGAAUGCCCUCAGAAAAAACCAUGACAUCUUCGCAUGAGCACAUUCUGAUAUGAAAGGAAUUCAUCCCUCCAUCACCUUUCAUAGGCUUAACGUCUUACAAACAGCCAGACCCAUCCGGCAAAAGGUGAGACGUUUCCACCCGAACAUACAAGAAAUUAUCCGGAAUGAGGUUGACAAAUUGCUAGAAGCCGGAUUCAUCAGAGAAGUGGAUUACCCGGACUGGUUGGCAAAUGUAGUGGUGGUACCCAAAAAAGAAGGCAAAUGGCAAGUGUGCGUCGAUUACACCAACCUCAAUAAUGCAUGCCCCAAAGACAGUUUUUCUUUGCCAUGAAUAGACCAAAUCGUAGACUCCACUGCUGGGCAAGGGAUGCUCUCAUUUUUGGACGCCUUCUCCGGCUACCACCAAAUUCCCAUGUCCCCGGCUGACGUAGAAAAAACAGCCUUCAUAACUCCACAUGGUCUCUAUUGCUACAGAGUCAUGCCAUUUGGACUCAAAAACGCUGGCGCCACCUAUCAAAGACUGAUGACAAAGAUCUUCAAACCUCUGGUCGGCCGCAUAGUAGAGGUAUAUAUUGACGACAUUGUGGUUAAAAGCAAAACCCAGGAGGAGCAUUUCCUCCAUUUACAAGAAGUCUUCCAACUCUUAAAGAAGUAUGACAUGAAGCUAAAUCAUUUCAAAUGUGCUUUUAGCGUAAGUGUUGGCAAAUUCCUGGGAUUUAUGGUCAGCCAAAGAGGAAUAGAGGUUAGCCUGGAUCAAGUCAAGGCAGUCAUGGAAACACCUCCUCCCAGGAGCAAGAAGGAGUUACAACGCCUUACAGGCAAGCUCGUCGCGCUAGGACGUUUUAUAGCCCGUUUCACUGAUGAACUUCGACCUUUUUUCUUGGCAAUACGAAAGGCUGGAGCAAAUGGAUGGACGGAUAACUGUCAAAACGCUUUUGAAAAAAUUAAACACUGCCUUAUGCAGUCGCCCAUCCUAAGCAGCCCCAUUCCUAAAGAAAAAUUGUACAUAUAUCUGGCUGUAUCAGAGUGGGCAAUCAGCGCUGUCCUAUUCCGCUGCCCUUCACCCAAGGAGCAGAAACCUAUCUACUAUGUCAGCAGAGUGUUGGCGGACGUAGAAACUAGGUAUUCAAAAAUGGAACUAACGGCCUUAGCCCUUCGGAGUGCCGCCUAGAAGCUUCGCCCCUAUUUCCAAGCCCACCCGGUGGUCGUGCUAACUGACCAACCCCUUCGUAACAUUCUGCACAAGCUAGACUUAACCGGAAGAAUGCUUCAGUGGGCCAUAGAAUUGAGCGAAUUUGGAAUUGAGUUCCAACCUAGAUUGUCCAUGAAAGACCAAGUAAUGGCUGACUUCGUACUAGAAUGCUCUCAAAGGCCCAACCAAUGCCAGGAACCAAAUGAAGAAGAAUGGUGGACUUUGCGGGUCGAUGGAGCCUCACGAUCAUCGGGGUCCGGAGUCGGGCUUCUGCUACAAUCCCCAAUAGGGGAACAUCUGGAGCAAGCCAUCCUGCUGGGAUUCCCCGUUUCUAACAAUGAAGCAGAAUAUGAAGCCAUCCUAUCCGGAUUGGACCUCGCCCUGGCUCUAUCCGUCUCCAAGCUCCGUGUCUAUUGCGAUUCUCAACUUGUGGUCAGACACGUCCAGAAGGAAUACAAAGCUAAAGAUGAGCGCAUGGCGCAAUACCUAGCUAAGGUGAGAGAUACCUUACAACGAUUCACUGAGUGGACGAUCGAAAAAAUCAGACGAAUUGAAAAUGGGCGCGUCGAUGCCUUGGCAGGCAUAGCUGCCUCCCUUCCCAUCAAAGAAGCCAUAUUUUUGCCUAUACAUGUGCAAACCAACUCUUCCAUUGCAGAAACCUCCACUUGCAAUACCAUUGAGGCACGCCAACCAGACAGCCAAGAAUGGACGAACGACAUUAUAAAAUACCUCCGGAUAGGCACUCUGCCCGAGGAUGCCAAACAGGCACACAAGAUUCGAGUGCAAGCCGCCCGCUUUACCCUGAUUGGGGGGCACCUGUACAAACGAUCUUUUACAGGUCCCUACCUUCGAUGCUUAAGUCAUUCAGAGGCCCUGUAUGUAUUAGCAGAAUUGCACGACGGAGUAUGUGGAAAUCAUUCUGGAGGACGAUCUCUAGCGCACAGGGCCCAUUCUCAAGGAUAUUAUUGGCCCACGAUGAAGAAGGAUACAGCAGCCUACGUCAAAAAAUGCAACAAAUGUCAACGACAUGCCCCCAUACCACAUAUGCCGUCGGAGACGCUGAAACCAAUUUCAGGUCCCUGACCCUUCGCGUAGUGGGGUAUGGACAUAGUAGGCCCCUUACCAACCGCACCCGCUCAAAAGAAAUUCAUGCUCGUCGCCACGGAUUACUUCAGUAAAUGGGUGGAAGCCGAAGCAUACGCUAGCAUCAAAGACAAGGAUGUCACCAAGUUCGUGUGGAAAAAUAUCAUCUGUCGCUUCGGAAUCCCCCAAACCAUUAUAGCCAACAAUGGACCACAGUUUGAUAGCAUAGCCUUCUGAAAUUUCUGUUCGGAACUGAACAUCCGGAAUUUAUACUCCACACCGCGUUAUCCUCAAAGUAAUGGGCAAGCAGAAGCCACAAACAAGACUCUAAUCACUGCCUUAAAGAAAAGGCUCGAGCAAGCUAAAGGAAAAUGGGUGGAGGAGCUACCCGGUGUCCUAUGGGCUUAUUGAACCACACCCGGACGUCCGACAGGAAACACUCCCUUCGCCCUCACAUACGGUAUGGAUGCAAUCAUUCCUAUCGAAAUAGGGUUACCCACUAUCCGGACUAAGGCAGGAAAGUAGGAUGAUGCAAACGCGGAGUUAGGAAGAAACUUGGACUGGGCAGAUGAAGUAAGGGAAAACGCAUCCAUCCGGAUGACAGACUAUCAACAAAGGGCAUCCGCUCAUUAUAAUCACAAAGUAAGACCCAGAAGCUUCAAAAAUGGUACACUGGUACUUAGAAAAUUUUUUGAAAAUACUGCUGAAACAGAAGCAGAAAAAUUUCAAGCCAACUGGGAAGGACCCUAUAUAGUAUCUAAGUCAAGUGAAAGUGGAGCUUAUCAUCUACAAAAGCUAGACGAAACUCCAUUACUCAGACCGUGGAAUGUGUCCAAUUUAAAGCAAUAUUACCAGUGAAAAAAAGAGACAAGUACAGAUAUGAAAAAGUAUGUUUUAUUGAUAUUUGUAAAAGUUAUAUACAAAGAGUUCUCCGGACUACAAGAUAUAGAGAGAAGAUAGCAGUAAAAAUUACAAAAAGAAAAGCUCUCAUUGAGCAGGCUUGCUGCGCAGCUUUUCCUUCUCGCCUGGAGGUAUUGAAGGGACGUCCCGCUUGAUUCCAUGUUUCUUCAUACAGUAGCGAUAGUCGAAGAAGUACAUUUCAUCUACUUGCUUCUGGUAGUCCACUUCAAGUUCCUCCCUUUCUGCAGCAAACUCACCAUCCAGCUCCUCUUUUUGCGUUGUUAAGCGCAGCUGCAAAUCUUCUUUCUGCUUUUUCUCAAUGGACAUUUCUGUCCGGAAUUGCCUCACUUCCCCCCUCAGCUGGGCCAUCUCGUCCUCCGCCUCAAGCAGGCGGGCAUCCAUAGAUUCCUCUCGGCUUUUUGCCUUAGCUAGCUCUGCCCAGAGAGCCUCGUUGUCUCCUCGAGCGGCGAAUAAACUGGCUUCGGCCUCCUCCAGUCUCAAGCGCACCUUAUCUUCACUAUUUCUGCACUGAGAGGCGAAGACCUUUAUGUAAUCAACGGUCCGUAGCAAGUCAGUAAACAGAUUAUGUUGUUGGACCAUGCCGCGAAGACCACUCACCAGCUGCAAAAAAACACGCAAAAAGAAGAACAAAGUUACAAACCAUGCCACAAACAUAUCAGUAUGGCAAGAAAAAUUAAGAAGGAAAACUAUACCGUUUCCACCACUUUGAACAUUUUUGCUGAAGGCAUGACAACGUCUGAGUCGGGUGGAAUCUGUUUCAACUUCUCUUCCAACUCCGCAUAGCUGAAAGCAUUAGCAGAGAUGCAAGUUGCAUCAUCAACUGGAUUCCCCCCCUGAUGAAGCAUUGAAGAGUGACUCCUCCUCCGGGUCUGGGGCCCCAUCAGUCUCGGCCGGCUAGGUCGCUCCGGGCGAACCCCCAUCCGGGACCACCACCGGGGCAGGUGGGUUCUCUACUACCAUCUCCGCCUCGCUCUCCUCCGGAUGAUCAUCCUAGACGGACGAGUAACUGACUUCGAUGGUUUCUAAGAACCGAUCCUGAAGCUGCCCGAUGAGGCCAGACUUUAGGUCUCGCGUCGGAUGCGACCUCCUUCUAGCCGACCCUUUCACUGGUACAAGGGCAAGGGGGCUUGGCCCGCAAGAAGGCAAACUCUAGCUCUCUAUCCCCAUUUCCUCCAUUGGGGAUGCCGUAGGAGGCAAUGCUGCAGCGCAAGAAGCCUCGGCUGCGUCCCCAUCCGGAUGGGGAGAGCCGGGUUGAUUUAUUGAAGUAGCUUCUUCAGCUAGAAGAGCCAGACGACCAACCACUGACAUUGAAGGGCCUGAGUGGUUUAGACCCGCGAGAUGUCCGGACCGCUUGAAAUAGAGGGCGGGACCGGGUGUUCCGGCUCUCUUAUUGUCACUUCCUUCACAUAAGUUGAAGGAGGAAUUACAAACUCCUUCGGAGGAGUUGGGGGUUUUAAUUCUUUCCCCUUAUUUGAAACUUUCUUCUCCUUCUUUGCUGGAGCGCCAGCAGGUGGAGACGAUGCGGGCCGCUUGCCACCCGAAGCCUUCCGCAAAAGCCCUUAUUUCCUUUUUACCUCCCGGUUAUUGAGACGGGCUUUGCGGGUCCGGGCGGACGCCUUCUGCACUGCCGCGUAGAGUGGCAGGUCUUGAAGAACGAAGUGCUCCCCAACCACCACCUCUUUAGGCAGCUGCCUUGGGAGUAUGUUCAACAUGUACGGCUGGGGCUCCUGCAUAACCGAACGGAGGUUUUGCGCAGAGAGCAGUGUGUCACAACUCCGUUCGACCGCCGCAAUUUCGAAAAGCCUGUUCAAACGAUCGAACGAGGCCUUCUUCACCCACUCCACCAGUUUUCCCCUUUUAUCCAGGCCUACACUCAAGAAAGUAAAAUAUGUUAGCAACCCAACAAUGCUGACCUAAACUCACAAAUCAUGGUAAAAACAGGAAGUCAUUUAGUCAUACCUGGGACCUUCAACGACUGGUUGGGGGCGAACGGCCUGUCCGGAUGCAUUGCCAAACCCGCCCAUACGCCUUUGACCAACACAUGUCCCUUGGCGGCCCCCUUGGUCGAGUCCGGAAGGCUGGUCACCAAUUGCAGGGACGGAAGGCAAGCGACAAAGCUGAAGAUGUCACUCUUCACCUUCUUGAUUGAAUAGAUGAAGAGAACCUCCAGCAUAACAGGUCCAAAUUGAACAACAUGCUUAGGAUGCUGCACCCCAUCAGCACCCGGACCAUAUUAGGAUGAAUAUACGCCGGAGGAAUUUGGGUGAAGUGCAGAAACUCCUUGAACAAAGACGGUAGGGGAAACCGGAGCCCAGCGUUGAACUGCUCCUUGCUAAAGCAAAUAGCGUGGUCUUCACCCUUCUCAGUCGACACAACCUCCCCAUUAGUCAAUUCAACAGAUACACCGUUGGGGAUACAAAACCGUUCGCGGAAUUCCUUCACACUCUAUUUAUCCACAGACUUCUCGGCAUAAGCAUCGCCAGACAGGCCAGAUGAGGUCGCUUCCUGGUUCCCAGACAUUUUUUAGCCUUGUACUAAAAUGAAAUCUGCAUAGAAGAGGUACCAACAGUCAAAACACAGUAAAAAACCCCCCGAAAAAACCCUCGAAACUACUGACAACACCUAGUGGCAAAACACCUUGCCCAAGCAAACCAGAAACAACCAACAGGACAAAACGCAACAAGGAAAAGACAAGAACAAAUGUACGUACCGAGCGUAAAGAUGGAAGAAUAGGGUUGAAAACUGCAAAUGCAGUCACCGUCAAAACGCAAAAAUCACCAGCAGAAAACCCUAGGGCUUCACUCGGAAACGAAGGAACGCCGAAGGUAGAAGAAGAAACACUAACAAAAAAAUGCAGUAGGAAAAAUGCAAACAGAAGGCACAGUAUGCUAUUUAUACAGUGACAACCCCUCGGUAUACCAAAUGCUCAGCUACGCCAUCAUUGAAACGACACGCUACCUGGGAAUACACAGAGACGACGGCUCAUCAUAAAUGCUCUUCUCUCUCUUUGCCCCCGCUCGCCACGUGGCCCAAUGAGCGCAAAAAGUAACCUCAGUUUCAAAAAACCAAUUAUUUUUAACCCGCCCAUUCUGCUCAGGCAGAUUAGGUAAGUUAAAAAGGGGGGCAUUGUAGGGACCCCUCCUCACACGUGGCACACAUCUCCUGAUGACACGUGACACACAUUCUCAUCCGGAUUAAUCUCAUCCGGAUUUCCCCAAGAGUACACGUGACGCGCUUCUCUUAUCCGGACUCCCUCAAGGAGAGGCACACGACACUCACAAACAUAACAUUCAGAUGACUGCCACAACGCACCCGGAUGACCGACAUAUACUAUCCGGAUAUGUUUGUCCGGAUCAUUGACUGAAGUAAGCAAGUCUUACACGUUAUCACAACAGCCUGCCAUGGCCCACGUUCCGCCACCUGCAGAGUGAAAGGACAGGAAUGAAGUGACGACAAGUCACUUCCCACGAUCUCUGAUAGCCGCGACGCCUCCCACUAUCUCUGUCAGCCACCCGUAGGGUGAUGAUGGCCCUGCCACCACCUAGUGGCAUCAUGAUAAUCCAAAAUAUCUCUUUACCAUUAAAGAGGGAAACAAAGCUUCUGGUACUAUAUAUAUGAACCUUCACACAAAGAAGAAGGUAAGCCUGCUAUACCUAGUAAAAGGCCAACUGAUUUAUCUCUCUUGCCAUGGCUGACAAAACCAUCGGAGGGUCGUCCGGACACCCUGUCCGGACGCCUUUUGCAGGUGCGACUGAAUCAAGAAUCUAUAUGGGUUGAGAUCGUAUGUCCAUCCAUUUGGCAACUACGUGGAUCAUUAGGGACGUGAGGCCUCAACAAUUAUCUCCUCAGGGUUUCUUUUCCAUGAAAUCCUUAAACCAGGCUGCUGCCGUGGUGAUCACCAUAGGGCAGCCUCCUUUGAAACUGAGAGGGUAGUUCUUCUCAAGUUCAAACAAGGCCUUACAGAUUCUUCUCAUCGACUCUCAUCUUGGGUAGGGGAAGACUGCUGCAAAUGGAGAGGCGUCAUCUGCAACCACAAGAGUUUACAUGUCAUCAAACUCAAUCUGCGUAGUCUUAAUGAUGAUGGAACACAUGGCAAGUUGGGCGAUGAGAUCAGUCAUUCUUUGAAAUAUUUGAAUCAGUUAGACCUGAGCCUGAAUAAUUUUGAAGGGACUCGAAUCCCCAAGCUCAUUGGUUCAUUGGAAAAGUUGAGAUAUCUCAAUCUCUCCGGUGCCUCCUUCAGUGGACCGAUUCCUCCACAACUUGGAAAUCUUUCCAGGUUGAUCUACCUUGACAUCAAGGAAUACUUUGAUUUCAAUACAUACCCUGAUGAGUCAAGCCAGAAUGAUCUUCAGUGGAUAUUGAGUCUUUCUUCUUUAAGACACCUUAAUUUAGGAGAAGUCAAUCUAAGUAGAGCUUUUGCUUAUUGGCUUCAUGUUGUUAGCAAGCUUCCUCUUUCCGAGUUGCAUCUACCUAGUUGUGGACUUUCUGUCCUCCCUCGUUCUCUCCCAUCUUCCAAUCUUACAUCCCUUUCAAUGCUUGUUCUCUCCAACAAUGGUUUCAACUCCACAAUACCCCACUGGCUAUUCCAGCUGGGGAAUCUUGUGUACCUUGAUCUCAACUUUAACAAUCUUCGAGGCUCAAUUUUAGAUGCAUUUGCAAACAGGACUUGUCUUGAAAGUUUAAGAAAGAUGGGUAGCCUAUGCAAUUUAAAAACAUUGAUCCUUUCUGAGAAUGAUUUGAAUAGGGAAAUAACUGAAAUGAUUCAUGUUUUAUCUGGGUGCAACAAGUGUAGUUUAGAGAACCUGAAUCUGGGAUUGAAUGAACUGGGUGGUCUUCUUCCUAAUUCACUAGGAAACCUGUGCAACUUGCAGUCUCUUCUGCUUUGGGAGAACUCCUUUGUAGGCUCGAUUCCGAAUUCAAUAGGAAACUUGUCGCAUAUGAAAGAGCUAUACCUAUCUAAUAAUCAAAUGAAUGGGACCAUUCCAGAAACACUUGGACAACUUCAUGAGUUGGCUGCCUUAGAUGUCUCUGAGAAUUCAUGGCGGGAAGGUGUUCUAAUGGAAGCCCAUUUGUCAAAUCUCACAAACCUAAAGGAGUUGUCCAUCGCUAAAUUUGCAUCUCGGUCCAGACCUCAAAUUGGUCAUCCAUAUCAGUACUGAGUGGAUUCCUUCUUUCAAGCUCCAAUACCUGAAGCUGAGAUUGUCAAGUAGGUCCUAAAUUUCCAGUUUGGCUUAGAAACCAAAAUGAGCUUAACACUAUAAUACUUAGGAAUGCUCGAAUAUCAGACACCAUACCAGACUAGUUUUGGAAGUUAGACUUGGAGUUGGAUCAACUGGACCUGGGCUAUAAUCAAUUAAGUGGCACAAUUCCAAACUCAUUAAAGUUUGGUCCUCAAUCCUCAGUUUAUUUGAAUGUGAACCAUUUCAAUGGUUCUUUGCCACUUUGGUCAUCAAAUGUGACUAGCCUAUUUUUGAGAAAUAAUUCCUUUUCUGGGCCAAUUCCUCAGGAUAUCGGGGAAAGUAUGCCCAUGCUGACAGAGUUAGAUCUCUCUCAUAACUCUCUAACUGGAACCCUUCCCGUGUCCAUUGGUAAACUACAUGGUUUAAUGAUUCUGUAUAUCAUUUGUCUGGAGAAAUUCCUGCAUUGUGGAAUGGUGUUCCUAAUCUGGUGGUGCAUGUUGACCUGUCGAACAACUGAUCUGGUGAGCAUCCAACUUCAGUGGGUUCUCUGACCUACCUCAUAUUUUUAACGCUGAGCAACAAUCAUCUUUCUGGGGAACUUCCUUCUGCCUUGCAGAAUUACACAAACAUCCGUACUCUUGAUCUUGGAGGCAACAGAUUUUCAGGAAAUAUUCCGACAUGGAUUGGACAAACAAUGCCAAGUCUUUGGAUUCUAGGACUAGGAUCAAAUUUGUUUAAUGGGAGCAUUCCAUUACAACUAUGCACUCUUUCCUCUCUUCACAUAUUGGAUCUUGCCCAAAACAAUCUGUCAGGAUCUAUUCCCUCUUGCGUGGGGAAUUUAAGUGCUAUGGCAUCCGAAAUUGGAUCAUAUAGAUAUGAGGCUGAUUUGAUGGUGAAAGGAAGGGAAGAUUCAUAUAGAAACAUUCUCUAUCUUGUGAAUAGCAUAGACUUGUCCAACAAGCCUAUCUGGAGAUGUGCUUGGAGGGCUAACAAAUCUUUCAAGAUUAGGCACCUUGAACUUGUCUAUGAACCAUAUAACAGGAAAAAUACCAGACAACAUUGGGAGCUUACAAUGGUUGGAAAAUCUAGACCUCUCAAGAAACUAGCUUUCUGGUCUAAUUCCAGCAGGUAUGGCUUCUUUGACUCUCUUUAAUCACUUGAACCUGUCCUAUAACAACCUGUCAGGUAGAAUUUCAACAGGCAACCAGCUGCAAACCCUGGAUGAUCCAUCAAUAUACAGGCACAACCUUGCACUAUGUGGGCGUCCGAUAACAGCUAAGUGUCCUGGUGAUGAUGGAACCCCCAAUCCUCCCGGUGGAGAUGAUGAAGAAGACGAUGAAGAUGGAGCUGAGGUUGAAAUCAAGUGGUUCUACAUGAGCAUGGGAACAGGAUUUGUGGUGGGGUUUUGGGGAGUUUGUGGCACCUUAGUAGUUAAGGAGUCAUGGAGCCUAUUUUAGGCUUGUCUGUGACAUCAAAGAGUGGCUGCUUCUAGUUAUUCAGUUGAAUGUUACCCAUCUGCAAAGAAAACUGAAUUUGGGAAGAAGCCAGUAUCAUACUUGAACAACCUUCUGGAAUUAAGUUCCCGAAAUAAAUGAAUGCUUCUAUGUAGUUCAGCACUUCAGCUUCAUGUACAACCUUCUGAAAUAUGAAGUUUUGAUUCCAAGUUUUUUCAAACGCUUGGUCUUUUAUUUUUCUAUCUUUUGGUCACAAGUAUAUUUACUCACAUAUCGGAGACUUGCCCAAAAUAAAUAAAUGAGCUAAUAAACAACGAAGGCGAUGUCGGAUUCCCAGCAUUGCUUUGUUUCCUAUCAUCUUUUCAACACAACUCUUGACAGGGAAGCAGAUUAUGAUGAAAAAUUUAAUUAGAAGAAAAAAAAAAGGGUGCAAAUAUAGAAUCAUGGGCACAAUUGUUCAAGCUGAUCACCCACACUCCUGAGCCAUGAUUUAGUCUUUUUUUUUUUUUUUGGUGGCUGAAUCAUCGUACUACUCCAGUGUGCAUCCCUUAAAAUUUUCAAACAAUUUGCACAGGUCAAACAAAAGGAAUCAUUUCGUCCAACACUGAAUGGGUGGCAGCUUGCUUCAUAAUGAGAAAUAGAAAUCCACGAGGUUUCCAAGCUCAUUAUGACACAUUCUAUACUCCAACUACUAUGCAAAAUAAUGAAGUUUUGCACAAGUAUCCCAAGACUAGACCUUUGUAGAGCUCCUUGGAAAAUGACUUUGAAACAUGUUAAAAGCACCUCUUAACACAACCUUUUUUUUUUCCACACGCUUUUUCUCCUCUUGUCCUCUAAGAUAGCUAAAUGGAAGAGGGUCAAUGUCCACUACUGACUUGGGGUCAAUGCUAAGGACAACAACUUAAGAUAAUUAAUCUUGAAUUGUUCAAACUUGCAGUCAACUUUUACCUAACAUACCAACUGGUUUUAGGGUCUAAAAUUCCAAUAUGAACAAGGGUACCACAAAGGUUUCUUUUCAUUGUAGGAGGAGAAAACAUCGUCUAAUAAUUUAUGAUGACAUUCCAUUUCUAAUAAGUACCCUUGUGGACUAAAUUAGAGGAUAUGGUAAAAACUAGGUCUUGCUGCAAUUUAGGUCUUCACUUAAAAGGCUUAAAAGUAAGUCCUAUUGUACUCAAGUUAAAAUAAGCACUUAGAUAUUGGACCCAUUUUAAGGGUAUUGUGGAACUUUGCUCUUCUAAAGUGAGUACCCUAUAUUUGACUAAUUCCUCGCAUGGAGGCAAAGAAUGCUCAUCCUAGCUAGCAGACUUAAAUCUCUCUUAUAAAACUCUCAAAAUGACACUAUUCCCUUGUCCAUGAGUAAAUUAAAUGCUCCAAUAACUAUCUCAAACAAUUAUUUAUAAGAAGGAGAUCUUUACUAAAGAGUGCCUUAAAUUUUUAAUUGGUAUAUAAUCCAUGCUGUAAAGAACAUUAUGUAUAAACUAUAUCAUUAUAAUAAUAGAUUUCUUUAUAAAGUAAGAAAAAUCAUUAUAAUUAUCUCUAUAAAUAUUUUAAGUCACGAGGGAAAAAAUUAUCAUGAGAUGGAGAUGAGUUUGUAAUAACUAUACAUUGUAGAUGGAGAUAAGGGAAAAAGUUGGAGACACUCAGUGAAUCAAGGACUUGCAGUUCAAGGUAUACAUAUAAGGAACGGGAAAACAUGGGAAGUUUCAAGGUUCAAUAAUAUCUGUUUGUUUGUUUUUUUUUCUAUUCUCUAAAAUAUUUUUUGUGAUAUACUGUAAUGAUUUUCUUUCAUCCAUUGAUGUAAGAAUGAUUGAUUGUACUACUGAAAAAUAUGACAUACCUUUAUGUAUUGAUUAUUUUAUCCUUUUGUCACUAAUAUAUAUUAGUAUUAAAGUAUAAUCAUGAACGUUAAAAGCUCAUGUACUUUUAUAUGUAAAUUGUUUUAUUUUUGUGUUAUUAUACUAAUGUGUUGGGAUCAUGGAUGGAAAUAUUGUUUUUCACGAAUAUAUCAAUAAUUUUAUUUUACAUAUAAUAGAUAUAUUGGAAAUAUUAGUGGAUUUAUUAAUACAAAAUAUUGAUGAGAAAAAUUUAAUAAAAACUAAAAAAAAGAAGAAGAAAAGUUUCAAAAAAAAUUGUAGAAAAAGAAAUAAUACAUAUGUUUAAGUUAUUUUAUUGAACAAUAUGAUUGCUAUAUGUACAUCAAUAUUUAAAAAUUAAAAUACAUUAUAUUUAUAUUUUUGAAAUAAUUUUGUUGGAAGAUAUUGAUAAUAUUUUUCUAAAAUAAGAAUUUAUUACAAUCUAAUUUUUUCAAAGUAAGAAAAAAUCUAUAUUUGUAAUGAAUUAAUCAUUGCAUUGAAUUCUAUUUCAUAAUUAGAUUAAAAGUCAAUUUCUAAUAGUGAUCAAAAUUUUUAAAAUUCUUCUUAUUUGACUUUAAGUCCAUUACUACUUGCAAAAAAUUUAAAUUUUUAUUCAAAAAAAAUCUAUAUUUAAAAUUCUAAUAAUAUUUAUAAAAAUUUUUAGAAAAAUUUAUCUUAAAUUCUUUUAAUAUAUUUAGAUUCAUUCAUUUUAAAAAUUAAAAAUUAUGAGAAAUUUAUGAGAUAAUACUGCAGCUCAAAGGACUGCCUUUCUUGGAUGCGAAUCCUGAGCCAUGGAUGAGAAAUUUAACCCUUGUGAAUGAAAUGAUCUUAUCCGGAUUGUUAAUAAUGAGAUUAUUGGAAUGAAAAUGCUUUAUAUAAUUUGAUUAUAUAGGACUGGAACAUGAUUAAUUAUGAAUCUCUGAUAAAUUCCGUUAUAAUAUAGAGCAUUCAAUAUUAAUCAAUGAUGGUCAUAUAUGCAUUGAUCUUAAUUCUGAGUGAUUAAUAGACUCAUAUUUAUUCUAUUGUAUUUUUUGACAUACCGGGUAAUGACACAAAUACAUAGUGUCAAAUUCUUGGUGUAUUGGAAGUAUAAUAAAAUAAAUAGCCGAGAAUAUUAAUAUACAAGAUGAAAUCCAUUCAUUCGUUAAGAAGUCAGAUGGACGGUUGCCAUAAGUAUUGGUUCGGGCCUUGAAUGAUAAGAGCGCUCAAUUUAUGAUUAGACCAUAAAUAUAUUAUUCAUUAGAGAACCAAUGGCACUUAAGGAGAAAGAUAUAAUUAAAGAGGUUAACGGAAAAACCUAGCUUUAAUUAUGAACCGUUUAUGGAGGAUUGACUCAUAUGUAGUGACUAUAUCAAUGGGCAAUUCAAAUCCUUUGAAUAUAUUUAAUUUUAUAAUUUUAAGAGUGCAAUUCCAAAUUUUUAGUGGAGUAAUUUUGGAAUUAAUAAUUUUGAUUUUUUAAUUAAGUUGUUAAUUAAUUGUCAAAAUUAUUGGAGCUUAAAAUUAUAAUGUCCAUAGUUCCUCUCAACGGCUCCAUUAAAAUUAUAUGAACAUUUUUUUUAUGUUGGGUUGAUUUUAUUAGUUUGGAAUUUUGAAUUCUAAAUUAAUUUCACACAAUCUUGAUUUGAUUUAUUUAUUUUAUAAUUUGAUUAUUUAAAAUAUUUUUUGAUACAAUGUGGUGAAGACCAAAUUUACUUGUAUUCCUUAAGAAACACCUUUUAAGUGGGGAUCAUGGGGAGAGAUAUUCUCUCCCAUGUUUUUCAAAAUUCAAAGAAACACUUUUUAAGUGGGGAUCAUGGGGAGAGAUAUUCUCUUCCAUGUUUUUCAAAAUUUAAAAUAUGUCAGUUAUUUUUUUCUUCGUGGUAUUAAAAAGUUUUUUUUUCUCAAUGUUUUUCGGAUGAUGGGAUGAGAAUACAAGUUUUCAAUAUAUUAAGUUGUGUGAUAAAAAAAAAAAAAAACCCAAGAAUGAAAAACGCCCACUCGUUUUGAGUUCAUCAUUUUUUGGAGAACGUUAGAGAAAGAUCCAUGGUGCUUUAGAGGAUUUGGAAUUCUAAGAUCCUUUUGGUGGAGUUCAAAUUUAUCAGCCUAAUCGCAAGGUACAAUUCUAAAUUACCUAUAUUUGUUAUUUCAUUAAAUUAAUACAAGUAUUGAUCAUUGAAAAAAAAAAAAAAAAAUUUUGAGAAAAUUUUUCUGGCUUCCGUUUUUCUUUUAAUUAUCUGGUUUCAAAACCAACACUUUUCAACACAACUCUUGACAGGGAAGCAGAUUAUGAUGAAAAAUUUAAUUAGAAGAAAAAAAAAAGGAUGCAAAUAUAGAAUCAUGGGCACAAUUGUUCAAGCUGAUCACCCACACUCCUGAGCCAUGAUUUAGCCUUUCUCUUUUUUUUUUUUCUUUUUGGUGGCUGAAUCAUUGUACUACUCCAGUCUGCAUCCCUUAAAAUUUUCAAACAAUUUGCACAGGUCAAACAAAAGGAAUCAUUUCGUCCAACACUGAAUGGGUGGAAGCUUGCUUCAUAAUGAGAAAUAGAAAUCCACGAGAUUGCCAAGCACAUUAUGACACAUUCUAUACUCCAACUACUAUGCAAAAUAAUGAAGUUUUGCGCAAGUAUCCCAAGACUAGACCUUUGUAGAGCUCCUUAGAAAAUGAUUUUGAAACAUGUUAAAAGCACCUCUUAACACAACCUUUUAUUCUAGUAUUUUUCCCCUUUUAUUUUCCACAUGCUUUUUUCUCCUCUUGUCCUCUAAGAUAGCUAAAUGGAAGAGGGUCAAUGUCCACUACUGACUUGGGGUCCAUGCUAAGGACAACAGCUUAAGAUAAUUAAUCUUGAAUUGUUCAAACUUGUAGUCAACUUUUACCUAACUUACCAACUGGUUUUAGGGUCUAAAAUUCCAAUAUGAACAAAGGUACCACAAAGGAUUCUUUUCAUUGUAGGAGGAGAAAACAAAGUCUAAUAAUUUAUGAUGACAUUCCAUUUCUAAUAAGUACCCUUGUGGACUAAAUUAGAGGAUAUGGAAAAAACUAGGUCUUGCUGCAAUUUAGGUCUUCACUUAAAAGGCUUAAAAGUAAGUCCUAUUGACUUCCAUUGCCCUUGUACUCAAGUUAAAAUAAGCACUUGGAUACUGGACCCAUUUUAAGGGUAUUGUGGAACUUUGCUCAUCUAAAGUGAGUACCCUAUAUUUGACUAAUUCCUCGCAUGGAGGCAAAGAAUGCUCAUCCUAGCUAGCAGACUUAAAUCUCUCUUAUAAAACUCUCAAAAUGACACUAUUCCCUUGUCCAUGAGUAAAUUAAAUGCUCCAAUAACUAUCUCAAACAAUUAUUUAUAAGAAGGAGAUCUUUACUAAAGAGUGCCUUAAAUUUUUAAUUGGUAUAUAAUCCAUGUUGUAAAGAACAUUAUAUAUAAAAUAUAUCAUUAUAAUAAUAGACUUCUUUAUAAAGUAAGAAAAAUCACUAUAAUUAUCUUUAUAAAUAUUUUAAGUCACGAGGGAAAAGAUUAUCAUGAGAUGGAGAUGAGUUUGUAAUAACUAUACAUGGUAGAUGGAGAUAUGGGAAAAAGUUGGAGACACUCGGUGAAUCAAGGACUUGCAGUUCAAGGUAUACAUAUAAGAAACGGGAAAACAUGGGAAGUUUCAAGGUUCAAUAAUAUCUGUUUGUUUGUUUUUUUUUCUAUUCUCUAAAAUAUUUUUUGUGAUAUACUGUAAUGAUUUUCUUUCAUCCAUUGAUGUAAGAAUGAUUGAUUGUAUUAUGUAAAAAUAUCACAUACCUUUAUGUAUUGAUUAUUUUAUCAUUCUGUCACUAAUAUAUUUUAGUAUUAAAGUAUAAUUACAUUAAAACUUCAUGUACUUUUAUAUGUGAAUUGUUUUAUUUUUGUGUUAUUAUACUAAUGUGUUGGGAUCAUGGAUGGAAAUAUUGGUUUUCACGAAUAUAUCAAUAAUUUCAUUUUACAAAUAUAUUAAGAUAUAUUGGAAAUAUUAGUGGAUUUAUUAAUACAAAAUAUUGAUGAGACAAAUUUAAUAAAAACUAAAAAAAGAAGAAGAAGAAAAGUUUUCAAAAAAAAUUGUAGAAAAAAAAAUAAUACAUAUGUUUAAGUUAUUUUAUUGAACAAUAUAAUUGCUAUAUGUAUAUCAAUAUUUAAAAAUUAAAAUACAUUAUAUUUAUAUUUUUGAAAUAAUUUUGUUGGAAGAUAUUGAUGAUAUUUUUCUAAAAUAAGAAUUUAUUACAAUCUAAUUUUUUCAACGUAAAAAAAAAAAUCUAUAUUUGUAAUAAAUUAAUCAUUGCAUUGAAUUCUAUUUCAUAAUAGAUUAAAAGCCAAUUUCUAAUAGUGAUAAAAAAAUUAAAAUUCUUCUUAUUUGACUUUAAGUCCAUUACUACUUGCAAAAAAUUUAAAUUUUAUCCAAAAAAAUCUAUAUUAAAAAUUCUAAUAAUAUUUAUAAAAAAUUUUAGAAAAAUUUAUCUUAAAUUCUUUUAAUAUAUUUAGAUUCAUUCAUUUUAAAAAUUAAAAAUUAUGAGAAAUUUAUGAGAUAAUACUGCAGCUCAAAGGCCUGCCUUUCUUGGAUGCGAAUCCUGAGCCAUGGAUGAGAAAUUUAACUGUUGGGGAGCAUGCAGAUGCCAAGCCACAAGUUGUUACCCUUGGUGAAGUGGAAAAGGUUGCCCGCCUUGUAGAUGUCCUGAGAAACACCACGCACAAUGGUUUCCCGGUUGUAGAUGAAGGGCUGGAGCCACCGGUUGGUCUGGUCAUAGGAGCAACUGAACUGCAUGGAAUUGUGCUAAGAGCACACCUUGUUAAACUGCUGAAGAAGAAGUGGUUCCUGCCAGAGAGAAGGAGAAGAGAGUGGGAAGUGACAGGGAAAUUUACCCAGCUAAAUCAUUUUUUUAUUCUUUUCUUUUUUUGUGCAUACAAUGAUAACAAUGGCCUUCUUGUGAGAGAAACUACAGUUUUGAGGUAAAUAUGACUAACCUGAUUGUUUCCUUCACUUACAGGUGUCUCCAGUAGUUGGGAUCUUGACCAGGCAGGAUUUGAGAACCUACAACAAGUUGACAGCCUUUCCUCAUCUAGCCAAAUCCAAGGAAAGGGAUAAGGGAAACUGAGCAGCUUUUACGGAGCAUUAUCUUAAUUUAUUUUUCAAUAUUAUUGUAGAAUUUUGUUCAUUCAAAUUAUUGUUGUUUACAAGUCAUUCAGUCAGUAAUAAACAACAAGUUCCUUUUUCACAACACUAGAAAAACAGAAAUUGAUUCUUGGUAUUUCUUCUGUAGUAAAAUAUUGAAAGAAUCCUUCAUUCCUUUUGCUCUGCCACAACCUAACCUCUAGUCCCGUUGAUCGUUUUUCAGCUCCAACGCCACAUCAGUAACUAAAAUAUUCCUCACAAGGGUUUCUUCUUCCUCUUUCCUGACUUCUUUUUCUUGAGACCUACUCCUGGGCCCCUUUUGAACACAGCCAAAACCUCGCUCGAUGCUGCAAUCAUAGCCAAACAUCAUUUAUAAUAGUUAAUAAGCAAACAAAGGAAUGAAUGUAAUGUGCAUAUCAUGGCAUACAUCAGAACUAACAUGUAUUCACUUUAAGUUGCUCAAGUCAAUCAGGUAGUUAUUUUCCAUUAAGAACCAAGUAUGCCAGUACUGGAACAACAAAAAGUUAAGGGAUAAAGUUUAAAUUGCGUAAUGCAAUUUUAUGCACCUGUAUCAUGUAUGGCAUAAAUUCAAAUUUCUAGUACAUAUUCCCCUUUACCCUAAACGCAGUGAAAUAGAUUCUUUCUUCUGGAAAUUGCUAUAUGCCUAUGUUAGGAUGACAAAUCAGUAAAUCAUCAAAUAAUGAAGGCAUUUAGUUAAUCCAAGAAGUUCCCAAGAGAAAAUUUCAUAGACAGUCUACAACUGAAAAUAUGUUCAAAGCCACCUUAGUGUAAGAGACAAGCUUGAUGCCCACUCAUAUNNNNNNNNNNNNNNNNNNNNNNNNNNNNNNNNNNNNNNNNNNNNNNNNNNNNNNNNNNNNNNNNNNNNNNNNNNNNNNNNNNNNNNNNNNNNNNNNNNNNAAUCACAUGACAAAUAUCCAAGAUCUCUUUAGAGAACUUGAUAGAACAACUAUUUCCAAAGUCAGAAUUGGAAAUGGUGAGUAUAUUCCAGUGAAGGGCAAAGGAACGGUUGCUAUCGAAAGCCAAACAGGUUUGAAACUCAUUUAUGAUGUUUUGUUUGUGCCUGACAUUGACCAAAACUUACUCAGUGUUGGACAGCUCGUUGAGAAAGAAUUUAAAGUUUAUUUUGAAGAUAGGAAUUGCAUUAUCAAGGAUGCUGAAGGCAAAGAGGUGUUCAACAUAAAAAUGAAGGGCAAAAGUUUUGCCUUGAAUUUACUGGAAGAUGAGCAUACUGCUAUUUUACAACAAGAUAGCACAACAAUGUUUUGGGACAGAAGGGUCGAGCACUUUCAUCAUGAUGAUGUGCUCUACAUGAAGAAAAAUCAAAUAGUUGAAGGACUUCCUGACUUAGAAAAAGAUCUUCCUAUAUGUGCUACUUGUCAAUAUGGGAAGCAAACUAAACUUCCCUUUCCAAAGAAAAUAUCCUAGAGAGCAACCCAAAAACUGCAACUGGUGCAUACUGAUGUUGGUGGAUCUCAAAAAAUGUCAUCCUUGAAAUGGAAUGCAAACAAUGUUUGGUGGAUCUCAAAAAAUGCCAUCCUUGAAAUGGAAUGCAAACAAUUUUGGGCUAAAACUGCAAGUAGAGCAGUAUAUUUUCUGAACAUAUUGCCAACAAAAAUGUUAAAGAAGCAGACCCCUUUCGAAGUUUGGUUUGAGUGUCUAUGUGCAAGACUUGGAGUUUGCAUCUACGAAGUCAAGGAGGAGUGUUGAAUUUUGACUUAGUAUUUGCUGGAAUUUGAAUUUUGAAUAUUGCAGCUGGAGUCUUGCACAAAAUCUGCAACAUCUAGAUAUUUUCUUAUUUUUAUUUGGUCAAGAUUUGGUUUCUAUUUUAUAGGAAGUAGUUGUUCAUCAUCUAGUAGCUUGAUUUUCUGCUAUUCUAAUGUCAUUUAAGUUACAAGUUCAUGUAUAAAUUCAGCAUUCUUCAAUCAAUAAAAUAAGUUCCAGCAGCCCAAAAUAUAUUUUUUGUAUAAGUAUUUAAUCUUAUACCAACACCAACACCUACACCUUUCUUGUCAGACGGGCUACAUUCAGUGCCACAGCCAGAAGGAGCCUAUCUUUCAUUUUGUUGACAAAGCGAAAAUAAGCAUAUCUCCAUGACUUCUUGAUCACUAAUGUGCCACAAACUCCCCAGAGUCCUAUGAUGAAUCCCAGUCCCAUGCUAACAAAGAACCAUGGCAACUCAGAGUCAUCUCCAUCUUCAUCAUCUUUGUCUUCUCCUUUCCCAGUUGGAAUUGUUCCAUUGUUGUCAUGACACUCGUUUGUUAGAGGAAAUCCACAAAGUGCGAGGUUUCCCUGGUAAAUAGACGGAUCAAUCAAGGUUUGAAACUGGUUGCCUGUUGGGAUUUUCCCUGACAAGUUAUUGUGUGACAGAUUCAGGUGAACCAAAAAGGUUAUGGAAGCCAUGCUCAUUGGAAUUGGACCAGAAAGUUUGUUUCUUGAUAGGUCGAGAGUCUCCAACCACUGCAAGUUUCCAAUCUUUUCACGUAUAGUUCCCCCCAAAUUAUUGCUGGACAAAUUCAAGGUUCCCAGUUUCAGAAGGCUUGUUAGUUCUAUAGGAAUCUCUCCUGAUAAGUUAUUAUAGGACAGGUCUAGACCAGUCACAAGGUAGAGACUGUGAUAGUAUUCAAUUGCUCUUCCUUUUGAAUCAAGGUUCAAGCGUCCCUCAUACCGUGCUAUAUCUCCGAAAGUUCAGAUUUGAAGCCGCUCAAGUUCCUAAAACAGGGAGGAAUAAAUCCUGACACAUUGUCGUGUGAGAGGUCCAGAAUGUGUAGCGCGGAAAGGGCACAGAUUUCUGAAGGAAUAUUACCGCUGAAGAAGUUGGACCGCAAGGCUAAAAUCAACAGGGAUGGCAUGCUUUCUCCUAUCCAGGAUGGAAUGUUUCCAGAAAAUUUGUUAUCACCAAGAUCAAGGCUUUCCAAGGCACUGCAGUUUUGUAGAUGGGAAGGAAGUUCACCAGAGAGAUUGUUGUUGGAUAGCACCAAGAAUCUGAGUGUCGUGAGGGAACCCAGUGAUCUUGGUAUUGUACCCGGAAGGCUGUUGUUGGACAUAUCUACAAUAUACAGGGAAGGCAUCUUGUUCAAGAACUGAGGAAUUUCUCCAGAUAAAUGAUUGUUGGAGAUGACCAAGGUCAUCAAAGCCUGUAGAUUACCCAUGGACAAGGGAAUGCUACCAUUCAGAGAGUUCCAAGAGAUAUCUAAAUCUGUCAGAAUGGGCAUUGCUUCACCAAUGUUCGGAGGAAUAGGUCCAGAAAACAAAUUAUCCCUCAGAUACAGUGUACUUACAUUAGACGACCAGAGUGGGAGAGGACCAUCAAAGAGGUUUGAACUCAAAUCAACAUUGGCUAGGUAGCUGAACACUAAUGAGUUUGGAACUCUGCCACUUAAUUGAUUAUAAGCAAUGUGUAGUUCACUGAGCUGCAAAUCUAAUUGCCAUAACCAAUCUGGUAUAGUACCUGAAAUUCCAGCAUUAUUCAGCACUACGGUGGUCAACUCAUUUUGAGUUCUGAGCCAGGUAGGAAAUUUGGGACCCAAUUGGCAAGAUCUACGGUUGAUGUAUGUGAGUUUAAAAGGAGGAGCCCAGUCAGAGGAGAUGUUGAAAACCAAAGAAACAUUUGGAGAACUUUUAGUAAUAGACAACUGCUUUAAGCUUGAGAGGUUGGCAAAAUGAGCUUCUCUUUAAAAACAUUUAUAAUAAUAAAACUAUUAAUAAAAACAUUACGAGUAAAAUCAGUUUAAUUUUUAUUUUUUUUUCCUACACGCUCUUUCUCCUCUUGUCCACUAAGAUAGCUAAAUGGAAGAGGGUCAAUGUCCACUACUGACUUGGGGUGAAUGCUAAGGACCGCAGCUUAAGAUAAUUAAUCUUUAAUUGUUCAACUUUUACGUAACUUACCAACUGGUUUUUGGGUCUAAAAUUCCAAUAUGAACAAAGGUACCACAAAGGUUUCUUUUCAUUCUUGGAGGAGAAAACAAAGUCUAAUAAUUUAUCAUGACAUUCCAUGUCCUGUCUAGACUAUAAGUACCCUUGUGGACUAAAUCAUAGGAUAUGGAAAAAACUAGGUCUUGCUGCAAUUUAAGUGUUUUACUUUAAAGGCUUAAAAAAUAAUGCUUAUCCCAGCAUACUUAUAUCUCUCUGAUAAAAUUGUCCAUGAGUAAAUUAAAUGGUCCAAUUACUAUCUCAAACAAUUAUUUAUAUGAAGGAACUCUUUUUUGAAGAGUGCCUUAAAUUUUCAAUUGAUAUAUAAUCCAUGUUGUAACCAACAUUAUGGAUAAAAAAUAUCAUUAUAAUAAUAGAGUUCUUUAUAAAGUAAGAAAAAUUAUUGUAAUUAUUUUUAGAAAUAUUUUAGAUCACGAGGAAAAAGAUUGUGAUAAGAUGGAGAUGAUUUUGUAAUAAUUAUACAUGGUAGAUAGAGGUAUGGGAAAGAGUUCGAGACACUUGGUGGAUUGAGGGUUUACAGUUCAAAGUAUAAAUAUAAGGAAUAGGAAAACAUAAGAUGUUUCAAAACUUGUUUUUGGUUUUUUGUUUUUUGUUUUUCUAUUCUCUAAAAUAUUCUUUAUGAUAUACUCCAAUGAUUUUCUAUCAUCCAUUGAUGUAUGAAAGAUUAGUUGAAUUACAUAAAAAUAUGACAUACCUUUGUGUGUAGAUUAUUUUAUCCUUUUGGUUUUACACUAACAAACUAGCAUUAAAGUAGAAUCACGUUAAAACCUCAUGUAUUUUUAUAUGUGAUUUUUUUUUGUGUUAUUAUAUUAAUAUAUUGAGAUCAAUGAUGAAAAUAUCGGUUUUUGCAAAUAUAUCAAUAACUUGAUUUUAUAAAUAUAUUGAGAUAUAUAAAAAAAUAUUGGUCAUAAUAUAUUGAAAUCGGUGGAUAUUUUAAUCCAAAAUAUAGGUGAGAUAAAAUUAACAAAACCUAAAAAAGAAAUGAUUUUUUUGUAUAUAAAAAGACAUAUGCUCUCCAUGUGACCAAACGCAAAAUGGUCAAUUUCAAUCCUUAUAUUAUAAUUUUUUUUAAAUUACUCAUUCACCCCCUUCCGUGUGUUACUCUACUAGACAAUAAUUUUGCACACUUAAUCCAAACUACUCAAAUAUCUCAUUUUCUUAAAAUAAACUUCAAAAUCCGUAUUUACUAUAACAUUACUAUAGUCACUGCUCCUUUUUGUCCUAUUCCUUCACCUUCAUGCUACAUCUUCAUACGAAAGGGUCUUAGCCUCUCACGGUUUUUUAUUCCACUCACAAAUUCCAUAAGAGAAUAGGAAAUCUAUGCAUUAUUGAAAAGAAAAGAGCAAAAAGUUGAUGAUGUAUGCAUGUGUAACAAAGAGUAUCAAUUCGAGAGAAGGCCUCUGAUGGCCAAGAGAAGAUGAUAUCAGGCAGUUGGAGAUUGAAAGUGAUUCAAAGAGUUUCAUACUAGUGAAAAUAAAGGGUCCUAAAUAAAUAAUCCUAGUGGCAUGCAAAAUAUUUAUGAAAUUAAUUAUUCUUUCAACAAGAUGAUACAUAAGCAUUUUGCUAGACAGGCACAUUUCCCACUGACUCAAAAGCACAUUUUGGCUUUAAGUGUAAGAAUUUUGUUAAAUGGGAAUAUGAAGUAAAAUAAGUCAAUCGGUUAGAAUAGCAAAUGAAGAUAUGAAUAGGAUGUUCUAACUCGACGUAUUUAAUUUUAUUUGAAUUAUUAAACUAGUGUCUUUUUUCUAAACCAAAAAAGGGGCAAGACUUUAGCAAAUGUUCUUAAACCAAGUCCGUCAGCUCCUGAUGCCUAAAGUCUAAAAUUUUCUUCCUUUAGAAUUAAUGACAUUUUCACAUGCACAUUCUAGUAAAGUUUUAAUGUCCACAUCUGGACCUAUUAAAGCAAAUGUUCAUACUUUAGCGUGUCAAAGAGGGCACACUACAAAACAAAGAAGACAAGACAUUUUCAUUAAGGAUAGGAAGGCUACUCCAUUCAAUUUUACCAUUGUGGCUGCCAACAACCCCUACCUAGAGUCGGGCUGUCGUAGUUUGUCAUUUAAUUAGAUCAUAAGUCAUAAAGUGUAUAGAGAAGCUAACAUUAUCACUGAUUAAGAGAUAAAAUUCUUAGGAGAAAAUGAAAUUUACUAAUUCUUUUAGGGGUACUAUGCCUAAGCACAACUCAUACCUGAAUGGUGUAAGAUCCACUUUCUUUAGCUUCAUCAAUUUCUGUUUACUUUUUUAUACCAGACCAGCACAUGUAUUUCAUAUUAUCUAUGUACAACAUUAUGUAAUUUUAAUAUCUAGAUUUAUAUGAUUUUAAGGUUGGGAACUUAAUAAUGUUAUUACUAUUGUUGCAGAUAAUUUUUGGGAAUAGGUGGAGACAUCUUUUAGGAGAAAUAGACUUUUGGGAUCGGAGCAUGUUGGAGGAAUUGAUGUUGCAUUGGCUCCAUCCAGUUUUGGCCAAGCAAAUACACAGGUAGACAAAAUUUCUAAUCUAGAAUUCUUAAUUGAUUGCUUAGGAAUGUCUUUAUUCUAUCUUAUCUAUCAAUCAUCAUUAAAUCAUAAUUCAUUUCAGCAUAUGAGGGACAUCAAAUCCUUGAGAAUGUACAAUUCUCUUUUUGAUACAAUUAAUUGCUGGAAUUGUUGAGGCUGGAGACUCUGGCCUUAUUUGCCUCUUGUUUGGACACCCAAGUUCCGUGUUCCUUUUUGUGUUCCUGCAUCACACAGGACACAUCGGCAGCUCACUAACAUAAGAUGCCUGACUCUAUCUUAUGUUUAUUGAGAGAAAUCCUACUUAUAUGUUUCACAAAAGUAUGUCCCAUAUGGGGCAGCAGUUGCUCAUUUGUAUGCUGGAGCUGGCGUAAUUGGAUUAUCAUUAGCUGCCACUAGAAAACGCAGGCAAGAACGCGGAUGGUUCAAGUUCUCUGGAAGUCUCAUUCUUAUGUCCAACUAGAAGAUAUAUUAAUUCCAAGUUAAUUAGUCUUGUUUUUCAGGUCUGUUAAAUGCAUUGAGAUCAACAAAGAGGCAAAGCUAUCUUUUGAGAAGACAGUUGGCUGCUUACCAAUGUCUAUAGUGAUGGGAUAAACGCAAACAAUGCACAACCAGAUUUUAUCCCAUCUUGUGAGAACCUAAUAGGAAUCAAUUUAAUAGAGUAACAACAAUUCACCCAAUGCAACAAGAAUAUGAACACCAACAAUUUUUAGCGUGGAAAACCUUCCCAAAUGUGAGAAGUAAAAACCACGGGACCCUUAGGCCACUUAAACCCUCCACUAAUAUAAUCAAUGGGUUACACAAUUCUCUUUAGAUGAGACUAUAGGUUUACAUUAGCCAUAUCUCAAGACAAUUAGUCUUGGCAAAUACAAAACAACUUGUAUAAAACAAUAGAGAGAUCUCACCAAAACAGAGUCACUGUUCCCGGACACAAAUCACCACUGUUCCAAACUCCAAAUCCAAUCUCCACCGUUCAAAAUGAAUAUCAAUGAGUUAAGAACGUGCUAACCAAAAAUCAUCUCGAUCAGAUCACGGAUUAAUCUCGAUCAAUGCUGAAGAUCAGAACUGCCCGGGUGAGAAGAAAUCAACGACAAAGAUGCACUGUUCACGGACUGAAACAACAACCUUCCGGAACUCUAAAUCUGAUCUCCACCGUUCAAAUUAGAGAUCAAUGAGUUGAAAAUCUCUCCUUCAAAUUUCAGGUCGAUCGGACCACACACGAAGCGGGAUCGGCCGUUUGAUGAAAUCUGGACAGUAAAGAGAAGAAAAGAAAUCAGCGUUUUUCUUCUCUCUAACUUCAAAAAUUCAGUGGCUCUUUUUCUUUUUCUCUCUAACUUUCUCUUCCUUUUUCUUCUUACUCUCCUCAUAGGGCUGCAAAGAUGAAGAUGAAGAAGAGAAAAGGAUUUCUUCUUCCCUUUUAUACAUUAAGGCCUAAGAAGCCUUAAAUGUUUGGGCUUUGAGCUUUCCUCCACAAGAAGGAAAUAACCCAACCCAACAAAUCUCCCCCUUUCCGACUAUGUGGAGGGACUCACCAUCCCAGCGAUGGAACAACAAACUCCAAGCUUCUCCCUUGGUAAUGUCUUUGUCAACAUAUCCGAGCCAUUGUUAUCUAUAUGUAUCUUCUCAAUUUCAAACAAGUUGUCAUUGAGAGCAUCUCUCAUCCAAUGAUACCUCACAUCAAUGUGUUUUGAUCUUGCAUGAUAGGUAGAAUUCUUACUGAGGUGAAUAGCACUUUGGUUAUUACAGUAUACCACAUAACGCUAUUGUUUAAACCCGAGCUCUUGCAUGAAACACUUCAUCCACAACAACUCUUUACAUGCUUCUGCUGCUGCAAUGUACUCUGCCUCUGUUGUAGAAAGUGCAACACAUUUCUGUAGUCUCGAUUGCCAAGACACAGCACCUCCUGAGAAUGUCAUCAAAUAGCCUGAAGUAGACCUUCUAUUAUCCACAUCCCCUGCCAUGUCUGAAUCAGUGUAUCCAACAAGUAUUGGUUUCCCACCUUCAAAAGUGAGUUUCAACUUGAAAAUGCCUCGUAAAUAUCUCAUAAUGCACUUGACUGCUUCCCAAUGAUGUCUUCCUGGAUUCGAUAAAAACCGGCUAACAACACCAACUGCAUAAGCGAUGUCUGGUCUAGUACAUACCAUGGCAUACAUCAAACUUCCUAAUGCUGAGGCAUACGAAACUCUUCUCAUGUCUUCCUUCUCCUUAUCUGUAGAAGGGCUAUGUCUGCUGCUUAGCUUAAAGUGACUAGCUAGAGGAGAACUAACCACUUUGGCUUUGCUCAUGUUAAACCUUGCAAGCACCUUUUCAAUAUAUUGCUCUUGUAACAUACAUAGCUUCUUGGAUGCUCUAUCCCGCUCAAUUAUGAUGCUAAGAAUUCUCUUUACUGGCCCUAAAUCCUUCAUGGCAAAAGAUUUGCUUAACUGCUUCUUCAAGUUAUCAAUUCUUGAAACAUUCCUGCCAACAAUCAAGAUAUCAUCAACAUAGAGCAACAAUAUAACAAAAUCAUCAUCAGAGAAUUUCUGCACAAAAACACAAUGGUCAGAAGUAGUUUUUCGGUAGCCUUGCUCCCCCAUAACUGACUCAAACUUCUUAUACCACUGCCUCGGUGCUUGCUUCAAGCCAUAAAGACUUUUCUUCAGCUUACACACAUAAUCCUCUUUCCCUUUUAGUACGAAACCCUCUGGUUGUUCCAUAUAAAUUUCUUUGUCUAAAUCACCAUGGAGAAAUGCAGUCUUAACAUCCAUCUGCUGAAUCUCCAAAUCAAGACUAGCUGCCAAGCCCAAAACCACACGAAUAGAUGACAUAUUAACAACAGGAGAAAAAAUCUCAUCAAAAUCAAUACCUUUCUUUUGAUUGAAUCCUUUGACGACCAAUCUAGCUUUGUAACGAGGUUGUGAAGUGUGUUCUUCUUGCUUCACUCUGUAAACCCACUUGUUCUUCAAAGCUCUUUUUCCUUUUGGCAACUUGACAAGCUCAAAAGAAUGGUUCUCAUGCAAUGACUCCAUCUCAUCUCGCAUAGCAUCAACCCACAUCAUCUUAUUUUCAUCUUUCAUGGCUUCCACAUAACUUUCAGGUUCUCCCCCGUCAGUUAGUAAUACAUAGUCAUCAACAGAAUACCAUGUGGAAGGAUGUCGGUCUCUAGUAGACCUUCUAAGUGGAAUAUCUGAUGGAGCCUCUGCUGCUGGUGACUGCUCAUGAACAUCAUCAUCCACCUCAACUUAUGUGGGUGUUUCAACAUCACCCAUGUCAUGUUGGUCAUCAUGUGCUUCAUCUUCAACCUGUGUAGGAAGAUUUGUUAGAGGGACUGGAUCUAAAUCAAUCAAAUCACCACUAUGCUAAGACUCCAUUGGAUUAGUCUUCUCAAUAUCAUGUAUAGUAUGGUCUUCCAUAAACACAACAUCUCGGCUUCUUACAAGUUUUUUCUGCACCGGAUCAUAAAACCUGUAACCAAGCUCAUCCUGACCAUAGCCAAUAAAUACACAAGGUCUUGUCUUAGCAUCAAGCUUAGAUCUCUCAUCUUUGGGAAUAUGCACAAAAGCCUUGCAUCCAAAGACACGCAAGUGAUCAUAAGAGAUUUCAUUAUUUGACCAAAUUCUAUCUGGAACAUCAAAUUCUAAAGGAACACAUGGUGUAAGAUUGAGAACAUGUACAAUAGUAUUCAAAGCCUCACCCCAAAAAGAUCUUGGCAACUGUGACUGCGAAAGUAAGCAUCUUACUCUUUUAACCAAUGUCCUAUUCAUUCUCUCAGCCAACCCAUUCAACUGAGGAGUCUUAGGAGGUGUCUUUUGAUGUCGAAUACCAUGUUGUCUACAAUACUCAUCAAAAGGACCAGAAUACUCACCCCCAUUAUCAGUCCGGAUACAUUUCAACUUUUCACCAGAUUGUCUUUCAACAAACGCAUGAAACUGCUUAAACACAUCUAACACUUGGUCUUUUGUUUUCAAGGUAUAAACCCAAAUCUUUCUUGAAUGAUCAUCUAUAAAAGUCACAAAAUAUAGAGAUCCACCAAGUGUUUUUGUUUUCAUAGGGCCACACACAUCAGAAUACACUAAAUCAAGCAUACCUGGCUUCCUUGUAUGGUGAAGUGUUUUGAAUGCAACUCUAGUCUGCUUUCCUACUAAGCAAUGAGCACACCUCUUCAAAGAUCCCUUCUUCAUACCAGAAAGAAGAUUCUUAUUAGCCAAAAUCAUCAAGCCCUUCUCACUCAUGUGACCAAGCCUGUUGUGCCAAAGCUCAAAUGUACUAUCAUCAUCCACUGCAUUGAUACUGGAAUCAAUUACCCUUGCUUGCAUCAAAUACAAUGAGGAACUCUUAUUUCCUUUUGCUAUCACCAUAGAACCUCUAGUGAGCUUCCACUGACUAUCACGAAAGGUGUUGCAAAACCCUUCAUCAUCAAGCUUUCCUGUGGAGAUUAAAUUCAUGCGAAUAUCCAGAAUAUGUUUAACAUUCUUCAAAGUCAACAUAGUACCAUUACUAGUCUCCAAACAUACAUCUCCCAUACCAAUGGCUUUAGCUGAGCCAUCAUUACCCAUCCUAACACUUCCAAAAUCACCGGAUGUGUAGGAUGUAAAGAAAUCCUUCCGAGGUGUAGCAUGGAUGGAGGCACCACUGUCAAUCACCCAACUAGUUUCCUGGAAAGCAAAAUUAACAACAUCACUAUCAUAAACAAUAAGGAAAUCUGAAGUGGUAGUGGCAACUUUAUCAUCUUCACCACCAUUGUCAUUCUUCUUUUCCUUCACUUUCCCUUAUUUUAUAUCUCUCUUCAAUUGGCGACAAUAUUUUUUUAUAUGCCCUUUCAAAUGGCAGUAGUGGCACUCAACAUCGGCAAACUUGUUAGUCUUGUUUUUACUUCUAUCUCUAUUCUUCGGACCUCUACUCUUACUCCUCCCCCUCUUCUCAGUAACUAGGACAUUUGACUGUGAAGAAGAGCCCUGUGACUUUCUUCUCAUUUCUUCAUUUAGAACACAACUCUUAACUAAGUCCAUAUUCAUAAUACCAUCUAGGGCUGAGUUAGACAAAGAAGUUCUAAACGUCUCCCACGAGUCCGACAAUGUACCAAGAAGCCACAACCCUUGCACCUCUUCCUCAAACUUGAUAUUCAUUCCAGCUAACUGAUUAAUAAUACCUUGGAAUGUAUUCAAAUGAUCUGUCAUAGGAGUUCCAUCUUGAUACUUCAAACUCAUCAUCUUCUUGAUUAGAAACAACUUAUUAUUGCCAGUCUUUCGAGCAUAUAACUGUUCGAGCUUAUUCCAUAGACUCCUUGCAUGUUUCUCUUCACUAACAUGAUUGAGAACAUUAUCAUCUACCCACUGUCUGAUAUAACCGCAAACCUGUCGAUGAAGUAAAUUUCAUUCUGCAUCAGUUUUAUUUUCUGGCCUUUCAGAAGCAAACACAGGCAAAUAAUAAUUCUUCACAUACAAUAAGUCUUCCAUUUUUCCUUUCCAAACAUGAUAAUUGGAACCAUUCAGAGUGAUCAUUCUACUUGUAUUGCUUUCCAUUGUUCUACACAAGACACAAAUAUCUUAAACCAAUGCUCUGAUACCACUUUGAUGGGAUAAACGCAAACAAUGCACAACCAGAUUUUAUCCCCUCUUGUGAGAACCUAAUAGGAAUCAAUUUAAUAGAGUAACAACAAUUCACCCAAUGCAAUAAGAAUAUGAACACCAACAAUUUUUAGCGUGGAAAACCUUCCCAAAUGUGAGAAGUAAAAACCACGGGACCCUUAGGCCACUUAAACCCUCCACUAAUAUAAUCAAUGGGUUACACAAUUCUCUCUAGAUGAGACUAGAGGUUUACAUCAGCCAUAUCUCAAGGCAAUUAGUCUUGGCAAAUACAAAACAACUUGUAUAAAACAAUAGAGAGAUCUCACCAAAACAAAGUCACUGUUCCCGGACACAAAUCACCACUGUUCCAAACUCCAAAUCCAAUCUCCACCAUUCAAAAUGAAGAUCAAUGAGUUAAGAACGUGCUAACCAAAAAUCAUCUCGAUCAGACCAUGGAUUAAUCUCGAUCAAAGCUGAAGAUCAGAACUACCAGGGUGAGAAGAAAUCAGCGACAAAGACGCACUGUUCACGGACUGAAACAACAAUCUUCCGGAACUCCAAAUCCGAUCUUCACCGUUCAGAUUAGAGAUCAAUGAGUUGAAAAUCUCUCCUUCAAAUUUCAGGUCGAUCGGACCACACACGAAGCGAGAUCGGCCGUUUGAUGAAAUCUGGACAGUAAAAAGAAGAAAAGAAAUCAGCGUUUUUCUUUUCUCUAACUUCAAAAAUUCAGUGGCUCUUUUUCUUUUUCUCUCUAACUUUCUCUUCCUUUUUCUUCUUACUCUCCUCCUAGGGCUGCAAAGAUGAAGAUGAAGAAGAGAAAAGGAUUUCUUCUUCCCUUUUAUACAUUAAGGCCUAAGAAGCCUUAAAUGUUUGGGCUUUGGGCUUUCCUCCACAAGAAGGAAAUAACCCAACCCAACAUAUAGAUAGUACCAUCAGCUGGCAUCAUGCAGACACGCCAAUUGUUAGUGUUCAACACCUCAAACUUUUACACUCAGACAUACACAUACAAACAAAAACACAAAUAACCCUUUGAAUUUUCCUCUGAAGCUCAUACCAGUGACUAAAGUCAGAUAAGCUGCCAAUAUUAUUGAAAAUUAACUUCUCUUCAAAAAUGGAGGCUCUUCACUUGAAGUUGGUUAUAUCAUAUAUGGAAAGUUGAAAAUUAUAUCCCACUUGCAAAAAAAAAAAAAAAAAAAAAGGCAAAAAGAAAGGUCAAGUCUAAAGGGGAUAUCUGAGAAUUUUGGUAGCAGCCCAUAUUGAAUGAUGAGAGGUACUACUUGUCAGUUGUCGUUACUUCAUCAUUAUAUAAUAAUAGGGAGAAUUGUGUUUUGGGUUCAAUUGGGCCCAAAAAUUAACAUUUGAUCCAUAUAUCAUGCAUAUUUAAGCUCAAGACCCAAACAAAGUAUGAAAAUUAAGAUGAAGGAUAUUGUCUUUCAUUAAUCCCUAAAAUACCCUUUAACCCUUAACCCUUAUAUACUCACAAGUGAGUGUGAAUUUCAAUUUUUUUUGGUUUUUUUUUCCUUUUCUAUUCCCUAUUAAGUAUUACUCAUUUCUAACUUUUUUUUUUCUUUCAAUCUAUAUUUCUAUUUUAUGUCAAAUAAAAAACAAUAAUGUUUUUUUUUGUUUUUCAUUUUUAAAGAUAUUGAAUCUUUUUGCUCUUAUUAUAAACAUAUAUAUAUAUAUAUAUAUAUAUAUAUAUAUAUAAUAUUAAUCAAGAAGACAAUAUUUUUAAUACUAAUUUACCAACCUUCCAAUAAUUUUGAAAGUGUAAAUAGGGUAAUUGGCCGAAUUAAAGUUUUCAAAAUAUUCAAAAUUUCUUCAUUCCAAAAUUAUCUAAUUGCUCUCCACACUAAUCCUAAAUAUUUUUUAAUAAAGAUUUAAAUAUUUAAAAUCAUUAAAAUAAAUAUUUUCUUAUUAAAGCAAUUUUUUCAAAGUAAUAAGAUAAAAAUCAUGAAAUCUUCAAAACUAUAAUUACAACAAAUAUUUUUAAUUUUAAAACUAAUUUCAUAAUUUAAAUUAAUGAUUUAAAAAAAUAAAAAUGUUAUAAAAAAUAAUUUUUGUUUAUUUUUAAUUCCAUUCAAAUAUGAUUUUUUUAAUCUCUAUUGAUAACAAUGAAAUUAUGUUUAUAAAGGCAAAAUAGUAAAAAUAUAUAUUUCAUUUAGUUUACUUAUAAUGAACAAUUCAAACAUGAUUGAUUUAAAUUUUAUUUCCUAUGUGUUACUUUUUGUAGGGAAUGUCUUAAUGACAUAGUUUGGUAAAAAAAAGAAAAAAAAAACUAUCAAUAAUCGUUUUAAUGUCAAAUUCAAAUUGUUUAAAAAUUGUACAAAACCUAUUAGGAGCCUUGUACAGCCUUGUACACUUAGCACAUUUCCCUUGUACAGUUAGUGUAAUAUCCUUGUACAAUGACACAAAUUUCAUAUUUCUCAUAAGUUAUAUGUUCAUGUAGGUGUAUUAAUCAUAUUUUCAAUAGUUUGGUUAAGAAAAUGGUGGAUGACUUAGGAUCAAUUUUCUUUCCCCAAAUAUCAUUAUUGGGGAAAAUAUUAGAAUUUUCAUGUGAGAGUUAAAUAAAAUGCAUGACAUAGGCGUACAAUCCUUGGGUGACAAGGAAAAUAAAAAAGUGGUUUAGAAUUGAUUAAAAUAAUUCACAAAGGGUAAUCUUAUACACUUUUGUACAAUUAGUACAUUUCCCUUGUACAGUUAGUGUAAUACCCUUAUACAAUGACACAAAUUUUAUAUCCUUCUUAAGUUAUGUGUCCAUGUCCACGUAGGAGUGUUUAACCAUAUUUCCAAUGGUUUAGUUGAGAAGAUGGUGGAUGACUUAAUGUCAAAUUUUUUUCCCUCAAAUAUAAUUAUUGGAGAAAGUAUUAGAAUUUCCAUGCGGGAAUUAAAUAAAGUGCACGACAUAUAUGCACAAUUCGUGAGUGAUAAGAAAAAUAAAGGAAUGACUCAUAAUUUAUUAUAAUCUUUCACAAAUGGUAGUCUUGUAUGCCUUUGUACACUUAGUACAUUUAUAUAAUUGUAUAGUGGCGUAAUAAAUGAAUAAAUAAUUUUUUUUUCAUAUAAAAAAAUAGUACUAAACAAGGUUUUCAAUUUUCAUUUUUAAAAAUAGUUUUCAUUUUUUAAUUAAAUGCAUUUUCAAAAAGAGACAAUAUAGAAAAUAAAAAUUAUUUUUUUUUAUAAAAAAAUAGAAAAUAAAAACUAGAAAAUAUUUUAAAACCAAACUCAAAUAUAAUCUAUAUAGUUUUUAGUUACUUGUUUUCAUCUGAAAUAAGUAAAUAUACCUUUCAACCCUUUUAUAUAAGAAAAAUUCAAUCUCUACUAUGUAUUGAUAUAAUCCACUUCUAAAAUUAGGUCAUAUGAAAACAUUUUAAUUGAGUACUUAAAAUAAAAAUUCUCCAUCCAUCCUUUUUAUUUAUUUUUAUUUUUCUUAUUUUAAUAAAUUUUCAAUUAAUUCAAAUCAUUAAAAAAAAUCCUUAAUAAACAAAUUUGUAAUAUUUCAUAUAACUUAUUACUAAAAGUCAUGUUCAAAAAGUUAUUAAAAUAAGGAAGGAAAAAGAUUAAAAAAAAAAAAAUUAAACUUUUUAUUUUAUAAUAGUAACAAAAAAACUUUAAAAUACUUUUUAGUAUAAAAAAAAUUAAAAUAGUGAAUAUAUUUAUUUUAAAGGGUAUUUUAAUUAUUAAAUUAUUUACUUCUAAAAUGUAAAAGAUAAUUUUUAUUUAUUUAAAUUAAUAUUUUUUUAGAAAGUAUUUUCCAAAAUAGUCUUUGAAUCAUUAAUAUAAUUUUUAUUUAUUUAUAAUUUAAAAAUAAAAAAUAAUGUUAAAUUUUCAAUUAUUUAUAAAAAAAGAGUUUAAAAAAAUAAUGAAAAAUAAAAAAAUGGUUAAUAAAAAAGAAUAAUGGCAAGUAGUAAAAUAUAGACAAAAAUGAGUUAAAUGUGUAUUUUUGUCGGAUUACUGUCUCAUAUCCUUAUCAUCAAUUAUAGAUGGUUGGAGGACUUUAUCUUAAUUAUGAACUUUCUAUGGGUUGAAACAUAAUUGUCCCAUAGUAAUAUGCCCACUUGGGCUUUAUGUUGGAAUACUAUAUUAAAAUCUCAGUAGUGAUGAGCAAUUGAUUUUUACCAUUUUUCUAUUGAAGUCCAUUUCCUGAAGAACUUUCAGUGAUUUGCUAGAAGAAAAAGGGAAAAAGACUUCAAGAAAAAGUAGGCUUAUCUUUGAAUAAAUAAAUAAAUAAAAAAACACCAGAUAAGUUACGAUUUUGAUAGUGGAGUUUCCAACUUGUAAGAAGCACUUUCUUUGUCAUUGCUAUCCUAAACCUCCACACAUGGAUCUCAAUUGGCUUAUAAAAAGCAUUUGUAUCAGUAUUUUGUGCAUUCCAUACAUACAACUUCUGGCUGCAGUUCUACUUUCAUGGCUAAUAUCAAUGCCUCCAUUCAUUUCCUUCUGCUUAUUUUCCUCUCCUCCACUUUUCUCUAUCUUGAAACUGUUAAACUUGGUUCCUGCAAUGGCGUUCUCAAUGUCAGCUGCACUGAAAUUGAGAGAAAAGCCCUUGUUGACUUCAAACAAGGUCUUACUGAUCCUUCCGGCAGGCUCUCUUCUUGGGUUGGCCUGGAUUGCUGUAGAUGGAGUGGUGUGGUGUGCAGCCAGAGGGUACCUCGAGUCAUCAAGCUCAAACUCCGCAAUCAGUAUGCUAGAACUCCGGACGCCAACGAUGAAGAUACCGGUGCUUUUGAGGAUGACUAUGGAGCAGCUCAUGCAUUUGGCGGCGAGAUAAGUCAUUCUUUACUUGAUUUGAAAGAUUUGAGGUACUUGGACUUGAGCAUGAACAAUUUUGAAGGACUCCAAAUCCCCAAGUUCAUUGGAUCAUUCAAGAGGUUGAGAUAUCUCAAUCUCUCAGGUGCAUCCUUCGGUGGAACCAUCCCACCCCACCUAGGGAACCUUUCUAGCCUGCUCUAUCUUGAUCUCAACUCAUAUUCUCUUGAAUCAGUUGAGGAUGACCUGCACUGGCUAUCAGGUCUUUCUUCUCUGAGACACCUUAAUUUGGGAAAUAUAGAUCUUAGCAAGGCUGCAGCUUAUUGGCAUCGAGCUGUUAACUCCCUUUCUUCACUCUUGGAACUACGCUUACCUAGAUGUGGGCUUUCUUCCCUUCCUGAUCUUCCUCUUCCAUUUUUUAAUGUCACAUCCCUUUUGGUGCUUGAUCUUUCGAACAAUGACUUCAACUCGUCGAUACCUCACUGGUUGUUCAACUUUAGUAGUCUUGCAUACCUUGAUCUCAACUCCAACAAUCUUCAAGGCAGUGUUCCUGAAGGGUUUGGUUACUUGAUUUCCCUUAAAUACAUUGAUUUUUCUUCUAAUUUAUUUAUUGGAGGUCACUUACCAAGAGACUUAGGAAAGCUUUGCAACUUGCGAACUCUCAAACUAUCUUUCAACAGCAUUAGUGGAGAGAUAACUGAAUUCAUGGAUGGGUUGUCCGAGUGUGUAAACAGUAGUAGCUUAGAGUCUCUGGAUUUGGGGUUCAAUUAUAAACUGGGUGGGUUUCUUCCUAAUUCUUUGGGACACCUAAAGAACUUGAAGUCUCUUCAUCUGUGGAGCAACUCAUUUGUGGGGUCAAUUCCAAACUCCAUUGGAAAUUUGUCGUCCUUGCAAGGAUUCUACAUCUCUGAAAAUCAAAUGAAUGGAAUAAUCCCAGAGAGUGUUGGCCAACUCUCAGCAUUGGUUGCACUGGAUCUCUCAGAGAAUCCAUGGGUUGGUGUUGUGACUGAGUCUCAUUUCUCCAAUCUCACAAGCUUAACUGAGUUGGCAAUCAAGAAGUCAUCUCCAAAUAUCACCUUGGUCUUCAAUGUGAAUUCUAAAUGGAUUCCUCCUUUUAAACUCAAUUACCUGGAACUCAGAACGUGCCAACUAGGUCCCAAAUUUCCUGCAUGGCUGAGAACCCAAAACCAGCUGAAGACGAUAGUGCUCAACAAUGCUAGGAUUUCAGACACGAUACCUGAUUGGUUUUGGAAGUUAGACUUGCAGCUCGAGCUACUGGAUGUUGCUAAUAAUCAAUUGAGUGGGAGGGUCCCAAAUUCAUUGAAAUUUCCCGAAAAUGCUGUUGUGGAUUUGAGCUCCAACCGCUUUCACGGUCCUUUCCCACACUUUUCUUCUAACCUGAGUUCAUUGUAUUUGAGAGACAAUUUAUUUUCUGGACCAAUACCUCGGGAUGUUGGCAAAACCAUGCCGUGGUUGACAAAUUUUGAUGUCUCUUGGAACUCUCUAAAUGGUACCAUUCCCUUGUCUAUAGGUAAGAUUACGGGUUUGGCAAGUCUGGUUCUCUCAAAUAAUCAUUUAUCUGGUGAAAUUCCUUUGAUUUGGAAUGAUAAACCAGAUUUGUACAUCGUAGAUAUGGAAAAUAACAGCCUAUCUGGUGAGAUCCCUAGCUCUAUGGGCACCCUGAAUUCACUUAUGUUCUUGAUACUGAGUGGCAACAAACUUUCAGGGGAAAUUCCUUCUUCACUGCAGAAUUGCAAGGACAUGGAUAGUUUUGACCUUGGCGAUAAUAGAUUAUCAGGAAACCUUCCAUCAUGGAUAGGAGAGAUGCAAUCGUUGUUGAUUCUACGACUGCGAUCAAACUUGUUUGAUGGAAACAUUCCCUCCCAAGUGUGCAGUCUUUCCCAUCUUCAUAUAUUGGACCUCGCACAUAAUAAUCUGUCAGGAUCCGUUCCUUCUUGUUUGGGAAAUUUGAGUGGCAUGGCUACUGAAAUCAGCAGUGAGCGAUACGAGGGCCAAUUGUCAGUUGUGAUGAAAGGAAG